UUAUUUUCCACACCUUGAGGACAAGGUGUGAAAUAAGUUUGGGGGUGGGAAAGUAAAAUUUUAGGAUUUUAAUUAUUGUGUCAGUUAAAAAUUUUCAUUCUUUUUUCAGUUAAUAUCCAUAGUUUAUUUUAAACUUUAGAACAAAUGAACAUGGUGAAGAUGAGUCUCAUAGUAGAGUCUUUUCUAUUUAUUUUUGCUUAGACACUAAUUAGUGAAAUGUACUUUGAAAUUUGCACGUCACACCAACAUGGUUUGUGAAUAGUGAGAUUGAAGCACUUACUUUUUGUCUAAGUGCAUUUUAAUUUUUGUUCUAUAUAAAAUAAAUUUAGUACGUGUUAUAAAGUAAUAAUUGUUCCACCCAAGGCUUUGCCUAGUAACCGGGUCAGUCCUGCCUAAUCAAUAGUGAUUCUCGCGUCAAACGGUAGAGUUUUGGCAUGGGGCAUGGUGGUUAGUUGGUUUCAUAGCCUUUUCAGCUCGAGUUAAUAAGUUCGUAGGGGUGUUUUACAGCUAGUACCUUAAAGCCCAAGUGGUUUGGGAGUCAUUGACCUAAAGCUCGCUACAUAGGUUGGAUCGAAAGCUUAACUGAACUGACAUUGACUUGAAACCCGUUAUUUUCGUGUCGUGUCAGAAAUUGGCGGGUCUAUCCAGGAGGUCCUCUUCGGUUAAGUCCUCUUCACAGAACUUAAGCAGUGAUCGGAUUCUACAAACUUCAUAGUUGUAUUCAUUUAUAGACUUAAAGUCUUGGAAGCAUAAAUGUUGCCAGUCGUAUCUUGCUUCAGGCAAGUAAAUGUUUUUCUGGUGAUCGAAGUGAUCGGCCAAAGCAAUCCAAAGGGUGUGUGGGUCCUUCUUAGCAAGAUACUCGGUCUGCAGUGCAUCAUGGAUGUGUCUUCGAAUAAAGAUCAUAGCAUUAGCUUUCUGAGCUUCGUCGACUAGGUCGUCGGUAGGUUCCUUGAUGGUGGCUCGAAGACUCUUUACAGUAAGAUGGAGCUUCAUGUCUUGAACCCACUUUGGGUAGUUUCUUCCAAAUACUUCCAAAGCGAUGAAAUCAAGCUUGUUCAAGUUCGACAUGUCCCUAAAAUAGAGGGUACAAAAAAAAUGUGGUUAGUCAUAUGGAAAACCAUAUACAUACAUUGUAGAACAUUCGGGUUCUAUAGACAUGUAUUGGUUUAAUUUAAACAUGAAAGCUACGGGUUUCAUGUGGUAUGUUUUGAAUGAAAACUUUGGGUUUCAAAGGCACUAAAUUCGAAACUACAGGUUCGAUUUUAGUUAUGAACGUCUAGUUCAUAUAUAGGUGUACCUGCAAGAACAUGUAAUACAAUAUACAACUAAGUGUAGUGGAUUUAUGGAUUGCUUCCGGAACCCAAGUGUGAAUGUGUCGGGACUACUAAAGAUAGUCAACGGUUCAAAGAAAACAAAUAAUUUAUUGAAUCAUUAAUUGCCAAAAAGUAAGUUUCAAGCCAAUAAUUUUGGAUUAAUUGUCAGAUUAAUGGACUACGGGUCACUUUAAUUAAUUCAAUAGAUCAUAACCAUUCAAGUUUGAUCGUAAAAGCAAAAUAAUAACAUUCAGGUUAAUAUUAGCAGGAAUGCUAAAAAAUAGCUUUAGAUUUGAAAAACCAUAGCCCAAUAUUAGUAGGCUGGUUGCCGUGUACGGGGCAAGGCCCUAAAGGGGUUUAAUGGGCCACAGGUUGGCUGCAAAGGUUGCCCAAUCAUGGCUGCAGGCCAUAAGCCGAUUCCAGGAAGCAACCCAGCAGCUAGGCUGCUGGUUUUGGGCCUUAAAAUGGCGUGGGUUGCUAGUUUCUUUGAAGUUCACGAAUCGUCGGCGUAGGGUUCGGCCUUAGUAAUUAUAUUUGUGAGAAUAUAAGUACACCGAAUUGGAACCAGACAGUAUGGACACAAAUACUUAAAAGAGAUAAGUGUCUUGAUUGUAAAUAUGGUUCGGCCGUAGGAAUGCCAAACUCUAAAAUGUACUUGUGAAUAUCCAAUCAUAAAAUAAACUUGGCUUACAAUGUGCCAAGCCUGGUAACACCUUACUUCGUCGAGGAUGUUGAUGAGAUGACCUCUUCCAACAAGGACUCGGAUAUCCUUGUUGACCGAGACUUGGAUAGAUGACCAGUCGAUCUUGAAACAAUGUUGUUUAUCCAAAUUAAAGGUGUUCCUCGGUCGGCUGAUUCUAUGGCUCCAGUGCUAUUUAUCCAAACUGAAAAUGUUGCCGGUUGCCUUCACAGUGUUGUUUAUCCGAACUAAAGAUAUGUUGGCGAGAAAAAAGAAAAUAAAAAUCUCAAGGUGUUUGAGAGGUUUGCGCAAGGCAGUUGUGGGUUGAAUUGGAGAAGCUUUGAAUGAUGCAUCCCCCUCUCUAUUUAUAGUAGCGAUUUCCCAAAUAACCAAACUAGAACUUCACUUGGACUGAAAUUCCUUAUCCUAAUCUGAUUUGGUCUCGACCAAUCCUAACCUCUAUAGGACUCUGAACCAAGCUCUUUAAUCAUUCAGAUUCAUCCCUUGAAGUUCAGCAUCUCCUCUAACUCAGAAGUUUUUAAACUCUCGAGAGUCCCUCUUGUAUUAGGAUUCGACCAUUUCAUCUUUAUCCAGGCGAAAAUCACAUUCUGAUAGGACUCGGCCAAACUCUACUGGGCUUGACCCAAAAUAUCAUUUUGGGCCCAAACAGUAACCAAAGAAGUCGAUGACACAGCGCCUCAGAGGCCGUAGGAGCAACUGGAGCAACUGGCGUAGGAUCCACGUUCAGUGGAGCAGUGAUCUUUCUCCCUCACAUUCCUAUUUAGAUGUAGGUGCAGCAAAUCAGACAUCAACAUUAUAAUAUCCACAUAUUCUAAAUCCACAUCUUAUAAGACACAAUUUAUAAAUUAAAAACUAAUUAUCGAAACAAAAUUGUUCUUUAUUUGGAUAUAUAAAGACUUACCCAAUGGUUAUUAGGGCUUAAUUCAUGGAGAAGGUUGUGAUGAGGAGUGUGGCAAGUUACCCAGUUGUUAUUUGUCCUCUCUGAAUCUUUAUAUUAGCUUGUAUCUUGUAAAUCUCACACGUGAUGAAAAUGUGGUUUUUCAUUAAAGUGAACAGUACCGGAAGCUUUUCGUUAAAGUUCUCUAUUUAAAAAUUACCUCCUGCAAAACAUAAUUCGAAUUGGAAACAAUCAUCCAUACACAUCAAUAAAUGGACGGUUCGUUAGGAAUAUUACUUGGUCCCUACACUACACAUUUAAAUGACUAAAUGAUCUCCGAUUGCAAUAAUUUUUUUUUUGAGGUAAUCUUCAUAUGAAGACUAAGAAAUUAAACGGUUCCAAUUAUGAAAGUUGUACGAUCAAUAUACAUUAUUUGCAAUAGGAGAAUGAACUCAUCUUUCCAAAAGGGAAUGCAAGUAUUAUAUAUUUUUUGAUCCCCCUUAUUGGUAUAAAAAAGUAAACUGGAAGAACAAGCUCAACAAUUAUAUAUAAUUUUUAUACAAAACCAUUUAAGAGCUCAAGUUGGCCAAAAAAAUAUCAUCAGAUGUAUUGCCAUUCUCUAAUUGAUUAAAAGUUGUGAUAUUCUUUUGGUCUUGUUUGCAAAGUAAUUGUCUUUUUCCUGAAGUAUUGAGUUUGAAAUAGUGUUUUCCUCUAAAGGUUAAUGUUAUCAAAGUUUACAUGUAAACCCCCUUUUUAUAAAAAUAAUUAAGGAAAAGAGCCUAACAAAACAAAAUUUCAACUAAAAAACACUUAAUGGAAUUUUUUUUCAAUACACGAUAUUAUCGACACUAAUGCACGUGAAAAUAAAUUAAAUUUUAUAAUAGAUUAAUUACAAUAAUUUAGUUCAAAUUUAACUUUUUUAAUCAUACACAAAUAAAUAGACCCCAAACAAAGACUCAGUCCUUCCACAUGUUCUUGAAGCUGCUUGUGCAGAGAGUGAGAACUGGCGGAGUAGCAGCCACGCCAGACAAAUAUCGUUGUUACGACAUACGACUCCUUCCUGUUCAAUUUUCACUGCUAGUUUUUCUUUGUUUCUGAUUUCAAUAUAAUUAAGACUUACGAAUAAUUAAGAAAAUAAACAAUUUUUACAGUCACCUCAGACGAUGGAUGCAAGUAUUUCCCUUGUAGAUAAUGAUUUUAAAUAAGACUGUGCUAUCAGCAUUUUUUUUUUACUUCUCAUACACCAUUUUAAUUUGCGACCGUCGGAUCGAAUAAAUAUUAAUGAGACUUUUUUUACUCUUUAAUUUUAAAAUUAUGCCAUCUCUUUGAAAAUUAUAUUGCAGUUGGGCAUGAUUAAAGAAGAAGACCACCAAAUUUAUAUUUCAAGUGGGAGUUUUGGGUGAGUGUUCAUGGUGGUGGGUGUGAUGUUGUUCUUGGGUAGAGGGCAUCAAGUGAGUGAUCUUGGUAGUGGCAGUGGCGGACGUUUGGAUGCAUGUGGGAUGAUGUUAUGGUCGAAAAUUGUUGGGUUGCCGAUCGCCGUUUGAAUGCAGGUUGUGGUGAUCUUUUUCUUCUCCAAAAGCCCAAAACAUUCAGAUUAGGUUUGAAUCCAGAAGUACAUAUAAAAUAAUAAAAAAAUUGAACAAAAAGUUAUGGCAUACUGAGAAGAUGACAGUUUCAGCAAUUUUCAGAUCUAUUUUUUCUUUGCCUGACUUUUCAGAUACCGAGGCCCACCGUUGUGAAAGUAAGAGAUUUUUCAAUGUGAUUGGUACACAGGGUAGUACAUCACGUGUUAUUAUACAAAUGGUGGGAUAUGUGUGCUAAAAAGUUAAUAACUUAAAAAAUAAAAUUUCUCAUCACUCCUAUUCCCCAUCCCAUGCCCUCCUAUAUUUUGUUAUUACGGUUAAAUCACGUCAACAUUUUAUAUUGAUUUUUGUUAUAGAAAUAAUAAGACAAAAAUUAAUAAGAAUAUAAAAUAUUGACGUGGCUUAACUGUGACCACAGAAAUAGGAGGGCAUGGGGAGGGUAUGGGAUGGAGAGGGCAGACAAUCCAAGUCCCCCCAUUAAAACAUAUGAUGUAUCACUUAUGUUCCUAUUACAAUUAAAAAUUUCUCGCAAGAAUCUUUUAAUGAAAAGAAAACGAGCAACGUGUCACUCUAUUAUUGGUUUGGUAUUCCGGGUCUGCUUGGGUUCUGUGUAGUUUAAAAAAUUUAUCUUCAAAGUGGCGAGAAAUUUUUUCUUAUGUGAAUAACAUAAGUGGUGCACAACAUGUUAUUAUAUAAGUAGUAAGAAAUUUAAUUUUUUAACAUAAGAAUCUCAUCACUUAUAUAGAGACACGUUAUGUACCAUCUUGUAUUCCGAACACAUUAAAAAAUCUUUCCAAAGUGGCAUAGAGUCGUGAAGAUUUGGCUUAAAAAUUUGGUUUAUAAAAUUUGGUUACAAAUUUUGAUUUAAAAAAUUGGUCUCUUUAACAUUACCCAUUGCAAAAAAAUUGACUGAAUUGUCCAAUCUACAAUUAAUAUGUUUGAAACUAGCUUUGACCUUUCAAGUUAUAUAGAUCUAUAAAACGAAGCAUCAGCUAGCAUUCAUAAUACUCAAAGUGAAAUAGAUACUUUGGGAAGAAAAAAAAAAGUGAAAUGGCUGGAAACCUCUCUUAAAAAAACUUUGCUAGCUAGCUUAGCUCAACCAUUGGAGAACUCCCAAAGAGCGCAAUAUCAAUAUGGCACUUUGGAUUUGGGCAACAAUUGGGGUACUUGCCCUUGUUCGCAUCGUGCAAGCAUGCAUAUCAAAAAGCAAGAACAAGAUGUUACCUCCUGGUCCGAGAGGGUUUCCUAUUUUUGGCAGCCUCCAUUUGUUAGGGAAGUUCCCUACCAUGGAUCUUCGUCAACUAGCCCAGAAAUACGGUGACAUCAUGUACUUGAGGUUAGGCCUCCAGUAUACCGUCGUUGUCUCUUCCGCACGAGCGGCCGAGCUGUUCCUCAAAACACACGACCUUAAUUUCGCAAGUAGACCACCUAAUGAAGGUGCAAAGCACCUCAUCUUUGGGCAAAAAAGCUUGAGCUUUGCUGAGUAUGGCUCGUAUUGGACCAACAUGCGAAAGAUUUGCAUGCUCGAAUUACUUAGCAACCAAAAGAUCAACUCUUUCAAGUCCAUGAGGAGAGAAGAGGUUGCUCUCUUGAUAAAAUCUGUUCAAGAGGACACCAAUAAUCGACGCAUUGCUAAUCUCACUGACAAGGUCAUGUCGCUCGGGAUUGACAUGACCUGCCGGAUGGUGUUUGGGAAGAAGUACAAGGACGAGGAGUUUGGCGGGAGGGGUAUCGUGUCUGUGAUGAAAGAGGGUUUGAAACUAGCAGCAGCACCUAACUUGGGAGAUUUCUUUCCUUGUAUUGCACCGCUUGACCUGCAAGGGCUCACCAAAAAAAUGAAGGCUGUUAACAAGGUGUUUGAUGAUUUUUACGAGAAGAUUAUUGACAAGCAUCUUCAAUCCAAGGAUGCAGAAAGAACGAAGGACUUUACUGAUGCCAUGCUGUCAUACAUGGGGUCUGAAGAAUCGGACUACCGAAUUGAACGCUUGAAUAUCAAAGCCAUGAUGUCGGUAAGUUUACGUAUCAUCAUUUUACAUAUUUGUCUUUUCAAUCUUGCUUGACUUCAAAUUAAAACGAAAUUGUUUCUUGUUACACAAUUUAGCAUGACGUGGUCUCAGAUUGUGCUUUUGAACCAUAAGGUCAAUGUUUGUUUGAAUAUACAAGAUUGAUUAUUGAUGAUACAAAUUUGUGAUUUAUCAUGUACAUUAAAUUGUCAUGUACAUGUGUCACGCUACUAUAUAUACUUCAUCUAGCAAUGGAAAAUUUAUUGGCAGGACAUGUUAGUGGCCUCAGCGGACACAUCAUCAACAACAGUCCUGUGGGUGCUCUCGGAACUCAUGAGGCAUCCACAGGUUAUGAAGAAAGUCCAAAAGGAGUUAGAAAAUGUUGUAGGUCUGAAUAGAAUGGUGGAGGAAUCAGACACGGAGAAAUUGGAGUAUUUGGAUAUGGUAGUGAAGGAAACCAUGAGGCUACAUCCUGUGUUACCAUUGUUGCUUCCUCAUGCAGCCAUCGAAGAUUGCACUGUCGAUGGCUACCACAUACCGAAAAAGUCAAGCGUUAUCGUAAACGUGUGGGCAAUCGGGAGAGACCCAAUCGCUUGGGGAGAUGCAGAGAAGUUCGUACCAGAGAGGUUUGAGGAUAGCAAUGUUGAUGUUAGAGGACACCACUUUCAGAUUCUACCGUUUGGCUCUGGCAGAAGACGUUGCAUUGGAAUGCAGUUAGGGAUUACUGUGGUACACUUUGUGUCGGCUCAGCUUGUGCAUUGUUUUGAUUGGGAACUUCCAGAUAACAUGUUGCCAAAUGAGUUGGAUAUGACUGAGGAGUUUGGUCUUGCAGUUUCAAGGGCCAAGAAUCUGCUCGCUAUUCCUUCGUAUCGCCUUCAGAAUUGAUCAUGGAUGUUGUGGACUAGCUAUCUUUUCUGUUUUUUUUUGUUUUUUUUUCUACUGUCUUACAUUUGUUUUCUUCACUUGUUGAGGAGAACAAAUAAUGGUGAAAAUUAAAUAAAUUUGUGUGAAAUUUUCAAUAAUGAAAAGUCGAGUAUGUAACAACCUUAUCAAGACGCUACUCCAACUCUUAUGAACGGAAGUUGGUUUUUCACACACCUUUAACAUUUUCUACACCACUCUAUUUUUUGAUCAUCCAAUUAAAUAAAUCAAACAAAAACAACGACCAUGAUUAAAUAGGAGUGAAUAGAAGAGAAAAAGGGCUCCUUACAAAAAUACCAAAGAUGUGCCAUUACUGUAAUUCACUUUAUGGAAAACUUCAUUUUAAUCCCUAAAAAAGAUUACGUUUUUAAUAGUACCAUAUGUAAGAUGAAAAACUAAAAAUAGUCAUUUGACUCGUGUCCACGUCAGCUUAUAUACUGCAUGUCAGAUUUAAUUACUUUUUAUGAAUUUACUGCAUUUUUGGUUUGCCUAUAUUACCCAUUUUAAGGGAUUCAAACACAAAAACUUGAAAAACAUUUUGUAAAGGGACUUUUAGAGAUAAGGGCUUGUCAAAGAUGAUUUUUAGAAUAUAACAUGAAGGGUUUUCAAUGUCUAAAAAAGAUUAAUGCACCAUGACAAGUCACUUAUAAUAAAACCAUAAAUUUUACUACUAUUUACAAGAAGGCCAAAUCGGAUAAAGGAUCCCUGUGGUCAUAAGGUAUUCGGAAGAUAGCCCCUAUGCUAAAAAAAUCGGAUUUAAACCCCUGUGGUGUACUCCGUUAGCAAAUUUAGUCCAAAAAUAAUUUUUCUGUUAACUAUCUGUUAAUACAUGGGUAAAAUUGUACUUUGACGUGUGCAUCUUCUUCAUGCAUCUCCCCUACACAACCCCCAAACUCACUUCGCGCAAAAGAAAAAGGAGAGACCAUUUUCAGUUUUCCACAGAGCUACCACCGCAACCAUGGCGGCCACCAUGUCUUCUCUUUUUCUUGCGCGAAGUGCGGAGGAGGAGGAGGAGGAGGAGGUCUCGCCGAAGCUCUCUCACUCUGGAACCAUGGGUACCACUCAAACCCCCCUGUCUCUCUCUCUCUCUUCCUCCCACUCUCUCUGUAUGUGUGUCAUUGGUUUUGUAUAUGUGAUAAUAUGCAAGUAUCUCACGUGACUCGAUGCACAAGUGUCGUGCUACUGGAGGCAAGAAGAAUGCAUGGAGGAAGAAGAGAAAGUAAUGCUUUCUGCCUUCAACCCUAUUUCUCUCUCUGCUUUACUCUUUGAUUGCUUGUUAAUUUUCCUUCAUUUCUAUUAUUUUCCCUUUGUAAUAUUUUUUUUAUUGAUUUGUUAUGUUGUAAUUAGGCGACAGAUCUGUUGUUAAUCGUAAAUUAUUUCUGGGUUUUUUGUUGUGGAUAAAAGGUGAGGUCUCACCGUAUCUUCUUUUUCUUGAAAAUGGUCUCUCCUUUUUCUCUUGCACGAAGUGAGUUUGGGGGUUGCGUAGGGGAGGUGCAGGAAGAAGAAGGUGAACAUGUCAAAGUACAAUUUUAUCCAUGUAUUAACAGAUAGUUAACGGAAAAAUCACUUUUGGACUAAAUUUGCUAACGAAGUACACCACAGAGGUUUAAAUCCGAGUUUUUUUUAGCACAGGGGCUAUCUUCCGAAUACAUUAUGACCACAUGGAUCAUUUAUCCGAUUUGGCCUUACAAGAAUGUCAUCCUUACUGUCUACAAUGUAACCUCCACCAUCAAAAUUUGAAAAAUGUAACGGUUACAUCAUUAUCACUCAUAAAAGUAACCUCCAUCUUCAUUGUCUGAAAAAUACCAUCUUUAUUGUCUAUAACUACCUACUUUUUGUUUUUUGUUUUGUUUUUUAUUUUUUAUUUUUUAUUUUUUAUAUUUAUUCAAAUUUGAUAUUGUGUGGAGAAUGCACUAAUUUAUGUCCGAUAGUUUUGGUACGGCCAAUUAAGUACGUUAUAUAGUUCAGGUUCGACAUAUUCGACAUGGUCAAUUUGGUACGAUUUGUAUUUUUUAUGUUUUAGUUCACUAGGUACGACAGAUUAGGUCCGAUAGAUUAGGUUCAAUAAAUUGGGUAUGUUAUAAAGUUUAGGUCCUAUCAAUUCGGUAUGGUUAAUUGGGUUGUGAUUUCACAUUCCAUUUUCUCUACAUACAAAAUUGUUCUUUUCAUUUAUCUCCGGAUUCAUUUUUAAUUUAUUGAAUCCAAAACUAUAAAAAUAAAAAAGAAUACAUUGAGACUGUAGGUACACUAUAUUGUUCUACGUACAAAUUGUUCAUUUAGGUACUGUCAAUUAGGUUUCAUUCAGUAAAGUCGGUUAGGUACUAUAUAGAGUAGGUCUGAUCAAUUCGGUAUGGUCAAUUAGGUUGACAUUCCAUUUUCUCUAUUUGUAUUGUUUUAAUUUUUUUCAUUUAUUUCUAGAUUCACCAUCAAUUUGGCAUCUAAAAGCCUUUUUUUUUCUUUUUUUCUUCCGAAUACAACGAGAUUUUUGGUUUUUGAAUUUCCUAACUUUUUUUGUUUGAUCAUGGUUUCUGAGUUAUCUGGGUUCUUUGAUUGGAAUAACACAUGGAGGUUUAUGGUAAUGACCAUAAUGUUAUUGUUAUAACGAACAUGUUAAUUAUGGAUCUAGUUAAUUAAGCAUUCUUGGAAAAUUAAUUAUAUAUUUGUUUCUCUAAUAGGUUUUAAGAGAGUAAUAAGGGUAAAUAGGGAAACUAAAAAUGCAACAAAAUUUAUAUAAAAAAAAUAUUGAAUUAGACAUUAUACCUAUACUAAAAACCCAACGAUGUUGCACUGUUCACGGACAGUGCGCGGACCAAAAUGCCCCUCAAUUCUUUUGUUAAGCCACUUUUUUGCCAUCUUUUCUACAGUAAAAUGACUUCCUUGCCCUCUGACGCCACGCGUUUAUCAUCCCCGGUUUCGAUUUCUUUGGAUGCUUCGGUUUCUCUCUCCACCUGUCAACCAUCGCUGUGUCUUCUGACAUCUUCCCUUGCUUUUCACUCUUUUUGCUUCUGAUGUUUUUCAUUCGUUCUCCUCUAAUUUCCGUUCGAUUGUUUGGCUUUCGUGGGUUUCGUUUCCUUUGCUCUCUCUCUCCCUGGUGCCUGUGUUGGUUUCUGUUGUUGUUGAUCUGUGUUCUCUCAUGUCUUGCUCUUCUAUCACCUUAAAGCUUUCCGGUGAGUUAUUCAAAACUUGAAUGUGGGAGGUUUUUUUUUUUUUUUUCCAGAUCUAUGGGUUUUAUUCUCUUCAAUUUUAGAUGUUAAGAAUUGAUUGUUUAUUUUGGUGAGAUAUUUUAUUAGCAUUUGUUAUGUGUUCAGAUCAAGGAUUGAAUUGGGUUUGGGAGUUUUAAUUUAUGAUUUUUUUUGUUCAAAUUUUUAGUUACAGGAAUUUUUAAUUAGUUUGUGUUCUGGGUUUCAGAUUUUUCGAAAAUUUCACUGUAUUUCGCAGAUUGGAGUCUUCUGUAACAAUCGGAGCUGUUGGGAUUUUGAAAAAAAUGGGAGUAAUUUUUCUUUUGGGUUUCGUCUCUCUGGUAUUUAUACUGAACCCAAAACCCCAAAAGAUUUGAACUUUCUGGUAAAUUAAUUUACCUUUUUCUGAUUUUUUUUUCUUUUUGGAGAAUUUUUGUAAAUUGCUGCCAUUGUGUUAUGAAUUAGGAGAAAAACAGGGUUUCAGAUGCAAAGGACGAGAUGGUUAUGUGUGUUUUGUGUAAUUCAUGAUAUUGUAUGAAGUUUGGGUUGAGGUAUCAAUUUACUUGGAAAUGUAUAUAUACAGGUUGAAUAUGCCAUUUGAGAAACUAUGGUUUAUUCCUAUGUUUGGUAAUUAUUUUCAUAUUAUUCUGGAUUCGUUUAAGUUGCAGUUUGCACCAUUGGAAGAUGUUUAUCCAAUUCCAAGUAUCUAAUUGAUUUUGUACCAAUAUACAGUACUCAAAUGGCGUUCUAAGAUUCAUAUAGCCGAUCCCACUCAGUGACUUGGAUUUUCCAAGUCUCCAACCGAGAAGUUUUCCUCACUCGGGAAAUUAAGGAAACACUACCCCAACCUACAUGCUCCACUCAGAAAGCUUCAACAUACAAGCUUCAACAAAAGAAAAUUCAAAGAACUUAGCGAAGAAGGCUUUGGUGUAUUUAACAGAAUACGUUGAAAUGAAGGAAAGCUUAUUUAUUGAUAUCCCCGAUCAGCUACAAAUAUGUACAUAUACAUGAGUCAAAAUAAACACACAAGACGGAGCCUUCACAAAGGUUGCUUAGGAGAAGUCUCAGCAGUCGGUAGAGCCCCAGAAAGAGAAGGCACCGGAGGGGGAUCAUUUGGAGCCUCAGUACUGGACAGAACCCUAGAAGGAGGAGGCAUCAGAGGUUGAUCAUUCGGAGCUUCAUUACGCGGUACAGCCCCAGAAGACGAAGGCAAUAAAUGCCUUUGGAACAAACCCACAAAUCUCUGAUGAUCAAGUAAAACCUGACCAUCAGUUUCCUUCAUCUGGUCAAGCUUCCUCUUCAUGUUUGUAGCAUAGUCAUGUGCGAGCCGGUGCAACUGUUUAUUCUCAUGCUUGAGCCCUCUAAUCUCCUGUUUGAGACUCAUCACUUCAGCCGCCAAGGAUUCAACUUGGCGGGUUCGAGCAAAUAGGCGUUGGGCCAUAUUAGACACAGAACCUGCACACUGAACACUGAGAGCCAGCGAAUCCUUAACAGCUAACUCAUCAGACCGUUUGGAAAGUAGUCUGUUAUCUUUGGGAGUGAGAAGGUUCCUGGCCACCACCGCAGCGGUCAUAUCAUUCUUCAUCACGGAAUCCCCAACGGUAAGAGGACCAGUAGGGGAGACGAAGGAUGGGCGCCAUAUGUUGUCUGGAGAAGGCGGGGCUGCCUCUUCAACAAGGUUCAAGUCAAAACGACGGUCGGAGGGGCCAGACAUUUUCAAAGGUGUUGAAGAGAGAAGAGGUCGGACAAAUCAAGAUCUUAGAAGUGCAAGAAUGAAGCUUCUACUGGUGGAGAUUCAAGUGUGCUUUGGAACUUAAUGCCAGCCUCUAUAAAAAUCUGCACUCGACGGAGCUUCAGAAAGCGAAGAGGCGCCUGCUCAGAAAUCGAAGAGGCGUUUGCUUUCUCAAAAGCUGGGCUGCUUAGAGAUCACGAGGGUUGAUCUCAGAAAUCAAAGAGGCGUUUGCUUUCUCAAAAGUUGGGCUGCUCAAAGACCAUGAAGGCCGAUCUCAGAAAUCGAAGAGGCGCUCGCUUUCUCAAAAGCUGGGCUCCCCAGAGACCACGAGGGCCGAUCUCAGAAAUCGAAGAGGCACCUACUUUUCCAGCCUUGUCAGCACCCGUCACACGCACACUCAGCUUUGCAGAAAUUAUGGGCAUUCUGUCGAAGACUUCUGGGGAAGUAGAAAACACAUGAAUCUUACUGUUCAAUCACCCACUUCCCACACGCAACAAUAGCUCAUGGGUACCACAGAUAACUUUGCCAAAGUUCUCUGCCAAAGUUGAGCACGUGAAGCUUGCAGCUCCCACUACAUCGCUCUGACCAAGAAGGGUAAAAGAAUAGCAAAGAAACAGCACCAACAAAGUUUAGACCCAUAAAUUUUGAAGGUCUAGCUACCAUAUUAUUACCCACAAGGGUAAAGGAACAGUACCACUGCUGGAUAAUUGGAAAGUCCCUGUGUGUCAACCUUUGUGCUUCGUGGCAAGGUAGACUAGCAAACAUGCCCAACCUUUACUCACAUUCGAGAAAACACUCCCAAUAAGAUUGCUUGCUCCAAAAUCGAAGAGGCACCGUCCUCCGAAUCUCGAGAGCCAGACUCCCAACGUGACUACUUUCUUAAAAAUCGAAGAGAGGGUAAAGGAACAGUACCAUUGCUGGAUAAUUGGAAAGUCCCUGUGUGUCAACCUCUGUGCUUCGUGGCAAGGUAGACUAGCAAACAUGCCCAACCUUUACUCACAUUCGAGAAAACACUCCCAACAAGAUUGCUUGCUCCAAAAUCGAAGAGGCACCGCCCUCCGAAUCUCGAGAGCCAGACUCCCAACGUGAUUACUUUCUCAAAAAUCGAAGAGACACUGCUCCCUGAAUCUUCGAGAGCCAGACCCCCAGCAUGAUUGCUUUCUCAAAAAUCGAUGAGGCAUCGUUCUCCGAAUCAAUCGAAGAGGCGCUCGCUUUCUCAAAAGCUGGGCUGCUCAGAGACCACGAGGGCCGAUCUCAGAAAUCGAAGAGGCACCUACUUUUCUAGCCUUGUCAGCACCCGUCACACGCACACUCAGCUUUGCAGAAAUUAUGGGCAUUCUGUCGAAGACUUCUGGUGAAGUAGAAAGCACAUGAAUCUUACUGUUCAAUCACCCACUUCCCACUACAUCGCUCUGACCAAGAAAGGUAAAAGAAUAGCAAAGAAACAGCACUAACAAAGUUUUAGACACAUAAAUUUUGAAGGUCUAGCUACCAUAUUAUUACCCACAAGGGUAAAGGAACAGUACCACUGCUGGAUAAUUGGAAAGUCCCUGUGUGUCAACCUCUGUGCUUCGUGGCAAGGUAGACUAGCAAACAUGCCCAACCUUUACUCACUUUCGAGAAAACACUCCCAACAAGAUUGCUUGCUCCAAAAUCGAAGAGGCACCGUCCUCCGAAUCUCGAGAGCCAGACUCCCAACAUGACUACUUUCUCAAAAGCGAAGAGAGGGUAAAGGAACAGUACCAUUGCUGGAUAAUUGGAAAGUCCUUGUGUGUCAACCUUUGUGCUUCGUGGCAAGGUAGACUAGCAAACAUGCCCAACCUUUACUCACAUUCGAGACAACACUCCCAACAGGAUUGCUUGCUCCAAAAUCGAAGAGGCACCGCCCUCCGAAUCUUGAGAGCCAAACUCCCAACAUGAUUACUUCCUCAAAAAUCGAAGAGACACUGCUCUACGAAUCUCGAGAGCCAGACCCCAGCAUGAUUGCUUUCUCAAAAAUCGAAGAGGCAUCGUUCUCCGAAUCUCGAGAGCCAGAUACCACAGACCACUUUUUCAAAGUGCUCUGACAGAGUUAAAACAUGUGAAACUGGCAACUCCCACUACCGUGCUAUGACCAAGCAGGGUAAAGGAAUAGCAUUACUACUUGUUGUUAGGGAGACUCCUAUAUAUGUCGACCUCCAUCCCUAACGGACAGGCAGACCUGCAAAAAUGCUCAACCCUUCAUCAUAUCUGAGAGGGCACUCCCAACGAAGCCUUUCGAAAUAUUCAGCUUUCUUUCCCCCCGAUAAUACCUCUGCAAACAAGUUAUACUAGAGCAAGAAUAUCUCAUAUCAUCAGGGUUAAAAGCAAGAGUAUCCCAUAUCAUGCUUUUUCCCUGUCUUUUCCUUUGGCCUUGUUUUUACCUGCAAGACAAGGAGAAAGAGAGCAAUCAGUCAGCACUUGGAAUCAAGCUUCCAGCCAGGAACUGACUGCCUGGAACCCCUUACCUGAUUACUUACCUGGCAUUGCUCUCGAGUACUCAUCUUCAACAUCUUAUGUUUCCAGGGAAGAUUCCGCAUCUGCUUGAGGAACAGAUAGGGCAAGUGCGAAGGAUACAAGGAAGCAUGUGGAGACAAGCGUAACAGCACACGUGCCGAUACAUCCAUUACUCUGUCAAAAGCAAAAGUAUCCCAUAUCAGCAGGGGUGGAACGUACUCUAGAUUUGAUGGACUUGUUUUGACCCUCAAAUUCUUCAGUCGGCCUUAUACUCUGGAGGAAACCAGAAAACCCUCCAGCUCAGUUCAAGAAUAAGCCUGUGGAAAGUUACUUCUUCAAAAGCAAAAGUAUCUCAUAUCAUCUCUUCUCAUUUUCUUCUCUUUAUCCUUCAUGCUGCUGCAAGAUGGGAGGAGAAGGUGAACAAUCAGUCGGAGCUCUGAUUGCUUACCUUGUCUGUCACCUCUUUCAGCAGACCCCCUAGCUCGGCGACUUGGGGGACUCCUACUACAUGGUUUGUAUCGCGCUUGACCAAGCCUGAGACUACAAGUAAGCUUCAAGUGAAAUUGAUACAUUACCUUGUGCAUCUCCACCAGUUAAAGAUACCACCCCUGGAUGGAGGAAGAGUACUUCCAGAGAAGAUGCCACGUCUACCUAUGAGACAGAUAAGGCAAGUCAAGACGACACCACACUCCGAUACUUAGAAGUUUCGUGAUUACGAGAUCAUUCUCCCACAAUAUUUCCUAAUGUCACUUGUACUAAAUCAUUCACUUUUACUCACUAAAGGAGAGCUUGAACCUAUGUACUUGUGUAAACCCUUCACAAUUAAUGAGAACUCUUCUAUUCCGUGGACGUAGCCAAUCUGGGUGAACCACGUACAUCUUGUGUUUGCUUUCCUAUCUCUAUUCAUUUAUAUACUUAUCCACACUAAUGACCGGAGCAAUCUAGCGAAGAUCACAAAAAGCGACCGUUUUCGCUACCUAGGAUCUAUCUUGCAAGAGAACGGAGAAUUAGAUGGAGAUCUCAACCAUAGAAUACGAGCUGGAUGGAUGAAGUGUAAGAGUGCAUCCGGCGUGUUGUGUGACCGUCGUAGGCCACUGAAGCUCAAGGGAAAAUUUUAUAGGACGACAAUAAGGCCAGCGAUGUUGUAUGGCACAGAAUGUUGGGCGGUGAAGCAUCAACACGUACACAAAAUGGGUGUAGCGGAGAUGAGGAUGCUUCGUGGGAUGUGUGGGCACACGAGAAAGGAUAAGAUUGGGAAUGAGGAUAUCCGAGGUAAAGUAGGAGUAGCCGAAAUUGUAGGAAAGAUGAGAGAAAAUCGGCUCCGAUGAUUUGGACAUGUGCAAAGAAGGUCGACUAACGCUCCGGUUCGAAGAUGUGACUACGGGACAGAGGUUCAGGGCCAAAGGGGUAGAGAAAGACCUAGGAAAACUUUGGAAGAGACUCUAAGAAAAGACUUAGAGUACUUGGAUCUAACGGAGGACAUGACACAAAACCGAGCGCAAUGGCGUUCUAGGAUUCAUAUAGCCGACCCCACUUAGUGGGAAAAGGCUUUGUUGUUGUUGUUGUAUACAGUACUCAAAUGCUCUCAACGAAUACCCGCUUUCUCCCUCUCUCAUGAUGAUUGCUGCGUAUUACCAGGCCGAGAGAAGGGGAGAAUCCAGCCUUCCCAAACUUCGCAUGCCUUCUUGGCUAUGGAGGAUCAACUGGUGCAAUUGAAAUUCCUUAUAAAGUUUGGUAAUUAUUAUUGACAUGGUGUGACGUUUGCUAUUAACUACGCUGAAAUAUUUGAGAAAUGUAGAGUAAACAAAAGAGAGAAGGAAUUUUAGAGAUAGAAUGAUAUAAUAAUUGCUCUGUAAUUGUAUGAUGAAUUAAGUAAUCAACAGAGAGAGAGAGAGAGAGAGAGGGAGAGAGAGAGAGAGCUAGCAACUUAUACAACAACAAAUCACCUCGCUUAGCUCUCACGACACAUACUCAACAUGCUAACAAACACUAACCUCUAAACUGAUCUGCUGAGCACCUCUGUUUAUGUACCCACCACUCAUCUUUUGGCACUAAUCAAUAUUUGCAAAAUCUAGAGUUGCAGAAACCCCAUUUUUAAUGAAUAUUAUUUUUAGUUGAUAAUUAAUUGAUGAUUAAUCUAUUCAUUGUGCAUUAUUUUAUCACCAAAUACUUUGAAUAUUCAUUAGCAAAAGAUAUAGGGUUCACUAUUUAAUGAAUAGAAUUUUGAUGCUGGAUUGCAUUUCCUGAGUUAUAGAUGUGGUAAAUCCAUUAUUUAAUAGCUGAAUAAUCAUAAUGUUUUGGCCACUUAUCUUGAAUUUUGUUCAAAUUGGAGAAGUCACAUGUUUCUUAAAUGGAAACCUGUGUUAUUUGAAUUUGGCUUUUACACUCGAAGUCAAACUGACUCUAGCUUGAACUACAUUUGUAAAUCCCGUGUUGUGCAAAUUACUUUACACAGCAUGACCUGCAUUUCUAACUGUUUGCUGCUCUAUACAUUAAAGAUAGUGUACAUCAAUUUACUCUUUGUAGUGUAUGUGACUGUGAUCUUGAAUAUUUGAUAUUCUUUGAGAUUUUCAGCAUUCAGGUUUUGAAUAUUUGCUUUCCAUGUUUGAAUAUUUUGUUCAUUCAGUUUCAAGUGUUUUCUUUUUGUGUAUAAGAAUAUCUCAGUAACUCAUUGUUCUUUAUUUCCUCUAGGUUGUGAUGGUCGCUAUUUUUCAAAGGAUGCUGUUGAAUUUCAAGAUUGAAACCGCUGGCUUUCAAUCUUUUUAAACAAGUUACCUUUGUAAGGUAUCAAAACUAUAAUUUUUCUGUACAGCUAAGACUUUGGAUUUAGUCAAAUUAGGUGCUCAAUCAGUUGAUAUAAUGCCAUUUACUUGCUUUUUUAUUUAUUCCUUACCUUUUGUUAUUGUGAUGUAAUUCGGUAAGUCAUUCUUAUUGGGCGGUUAUAUUUUUCUCAUAAUUUUGUUUGACAUUAUUAUUUAAUCAAGGACAACACUGUUUAUAAUAAAAAACUGAUUAAAUAAACCAUGUAAAGAAAAGUUGUUUUUAAUUUAAGAGCAGUGGGUUGCAAGGUAGAUAUAAAAUGUUAAGGUGGGAUAAAAUUGAAGUGGCAAGGGUGGGGAAAAUAUUUAUAAUUUGUGGUAGAAAAACAGAAGAAAGAUGGAUUGACCUCAUCUGGAUUUAUUUAAUUUUUGUUUUAAAAAAAAAAUUGAUUCAGGAUUUACAUGGUAAUUUGUGUUGUGAUUUAAGGAAUUCUGUGUAUUAUGAUCUGUGAGUUUAAUUACUCAUCAUUUUUUUUUAUCUGUUUGUUUUGCAGGUUGUCUUUGUGUUAGAAUUGCAACAGUUUAUGCAACUUUUCAAUCUUUAAACUGUUUCAGGGUAAGAUUUAGAUAACAAUAUAGUUGGCUGAAAAUUUGAAAGAAUGUGCUGGCUUUGUUUUUGCUGAACCCAAGCGUUUGUUUUCUUUUUUGUUAACUAAUUUGAAAGCUGUGCAUAGACGGUCAACUGUGGCCAGAUCUCUUGAUAAAGCAUAUGCACCGAAUUGGAAAUAUCAAAUUAUCAAAAAUGAACCAAGUUGGUUUAUAAUAGCAAAAUGUUUUCCAAAAUAGUAGAAUGUGAACAAAUAUAUAAUAAAGAGCAAGUGGAAAAACGAUACUUACCAAUAUUGACAAUGGAUUUUUUGGAGAGAAUGUUAUACACAGUAUUUUUAUUGCCCCUAUUUGUAUCUUGAAUUUUGUAAUAGGUAUAGAUAAAGAUGUGAUUGUCCUAUAUAUAUUUUGGUAAAUCAUUUUUCUUAUAUCCUUCUGUUAUCAUGCUUGCUCUGGAUUCUACAGGUUUUUUCAAAGUUUAUUUGGUUGCUGGAAAAAAACUGUGAAAUGAAGGGCUUCAGAGUUCGAUCAUUUGUGCCUCAAAAUUGGUAAGGUUUCUUUCCCCUAUAUAAUUUUGAUUGGUACUUAUAGAUUUUCAUCAUAAAUUAUUGUAUUCUCUUGUAAAGAAGUUCAUUUUUGACACUUAUGUAAACUUUAACACCACUUCACCAGAUAACUUAAAUUUGUUUUGUUUGAUCAUUAUGUUAUAAUAUUCUAUGUGGUUAUAAGUUUGAAAAAUGUGGGGAGACGGAUCAGUUAUGAACAAAUUAGCAUGGUUCAUCCUAAUGUUAUAUAAGUUAGGUUGCUGAUUUGUUUCCUCAUCUCUUCAUUGGUGAUUUGUGUUUUCAGUGACCUUCCAUUCUUGGGUAAUAAGUUUUUGUGAAGAUAAUGUGUUCAGUUCUUUUUUUUAAAUUUCUGUUAUGUGUGGUUCUAUGUCAUGUGAUUAGAGGUUCCAAAAUAGAAACAUUACUUAUUUUAUUUGGUCAGAGUGGGGAGGAAGUUCUGUUCAAUUUUGGUUUUUCCAAUGGCUUAGGAAGAAAUUAUGUCACUAUUGGUAUUGCAGUUGUCCGCUUGCAUAAAUUACAAGGUAUGCUACAAUCUUCUUUGGUAGAUUUGAUUCAAAUUGAUAGAUUUCGGUGAGAAAGAAACUUUUAUCUUUUCCUUCAGUUAAGGACUCUUAGGACUUCAAAUUUGUAAAAGAUGUGAAUAUUAGAACAAUGGCAAUGUAUGUGAAUAUUAGAACGAUGGCAAUAGAACUGCCAACCCAUAUGGAUUGUAAACAGAUUUCAACAUAUAUCUAAAUAGUAUUGCAUAUCGUAUGUAUUUAGAGCUUUUCACAUAUUUUAUAGUUUUAACACCCACAGCAUCGCGCGGGCACCGUUGCUAGUGGAAUUCUGUAAUCUGAUGAUAGGAGCAUAUUUAUGCGACUUAGUUGGUUUGUUCUUGUGCAUUUAUGUCGUGUUUCCUUAGUUAUUUUAAUGUUUAAAGUCAUUUUCGUGUGUUUUCAGAUUUUAUGGACAAAGUAGGCAAGAAGAUGCAUUUUGGAGCAAAAUGGAGCUUGGAAUGCAUGUCACAUAUUUGGGCCAAAGUGGAUGGACGAAUUUGAGAACUAAAGAGGCCAAGAAUGUGAAGAAUUAUGGUCCAAAAAAUGAAGAACUCAGCCCAAAAAUUUGUCACCCCAACUUGCCUUCAUUGCCAUGCAAAACAACAUAGAAUUCCCUUUGGAUUCCCAUGCCAUGCUUGAUCACUUUUGUCCCCUACAUAAUUUCUGAUUUCAUGCUUCAAUUCAUUUAAUUAUUACACUUAAUUGCUAGAUACCUCUUGUUCCCUUCACCCACAAAAUUUUAUACAACUUUCACAACCAUAACAUGCACCAAUUGAUGCUCCAUCAUUCACAUUUGGAAUCUCAUGCCUUGUGUACCACAUGUUGCUGUACCUUUGACCCAUUUAUUGACACAUUUUCACCUCCCUUUCCAUCUCUAUGCAAUGUACACAAUCAUUCAUGCCCCCUAGCUACAAGACCACUCCAUUUUACCCUUCACACUUUGCAUCAUCACUUCAUUUUCACCCUUGGACCAUUGCACACCACAUACUCUUUGCCAUGCAUUCUACCUAGCCUAACCUGAUUCUCUAAGGUUUUUGGGGCCUAUAUAUACAUGUUUACAUCCCUUGGCAAAGGGUUCACACUCUCAUAUUCACCAUUCAUCACAGAAAUUCGUCCAUACUCACCCUAGGUAGCAAAACACCCCAAAAACACUAUUCUAGUGCCUAGAAAACAUAACAGUCACUCCACCUUCUUCCACCCUCAUUGCCUAGCUUUCCACCACCCUCCAACCCUCAAACACUCCUCCACACUUACCCUAAACCUUUCCAUACCAUUUCCCAUCCAUUCUACAUCAUAAAACUACCCAAAAAAACUGUCCACAAAGCAAUCUGCCGCAAGCAAGGGAAAGGAUAAUUCUUGGAUGCACUUGUUGCCAAGUUGAAGCAUUUUAGGUGUUUUCUUUCCUUUGAUUUUAAUGUCUAAUUUUAUGUAUCUUUGCUUUGUGAGUAUGAGGAACUAAACCCCUCUUAGUUAGGGGGUGAUUCGAAACUAUGUUCAUACUUGCAAUAUGAUUUGAUUACAUCCAGUUGUGAUUCAUAAGUUGUGAAUUCAAUUUACUUAUCCGAUCGUAUAAAAAAUGAUUUGUGUAUGUUGGUUGAGAGUGCACGCUUAAUUUUCAUGCAUGAAUUUAACGCUAGAAUAUAAGGGAGUUUCACCUAAUCGUUAUGAACUUAUAUUCACAAGUAGUGAAGGUUGCUAGUCACAAUCACGUUAAGUAAAUUCUUGGCAUAAGUUUCAUGCAAUUCAUAGUAACGAGUGCUUCGUCAAUGCUUAUGUUUUUCAUAGAACUUAAUGAUUCUUGCUUGUAUCUCUAUUAUGCAAUUCAUGUAGGGAACUUGUAGGGAAUGUUUUGAGUUGUCGUAUGCAAUCAUCCAACCCAAUAACUUGUGGAAAAACUGAGGGUUAAUUAGUGCAAUUCACGGUUAAUUUGAGGCGUUGAGUAUUCAUAGCUUAUCGAAAAGCAACUGGAAAUCGUUUUGUAUGCAAGUGUGACAUGUGUGGAGAAGAACCUCCUAGCUAGCCUUCCAUCCAUAAGUUUCAUUCAAAUUCAUUUUACAAUCUGUUUUGAUUCACUUAAAUUUGUCUAAGAAUUUGUUUACUUUGUUCUUGUCUUAAUUUAAUUAUUUUCGUCCAAAAUCAACCCCAUCUUAUUUCUUUGAGUCAUAUUAAUUAGAACUUGUCUUAGAUUAUGUUUUUAAGUGUUUUAGUUCAUUAGAAAACCAAAAUUCGUCCAAGUUUGUGUUAGAGUCCCAAAACUGCCCAGAUUGUGUGUUUAAGGUAGUUUUGAGUGUUUAGGGGCUGUUUUGAGUCUUUUGGUUUGUUUUAGUGUUUUAAAUUAUAGUUUUGCAUUCUUUGAGUCUAGUUAGUGUUUUAAACUUUGUUUUUACGUUUUCAAGUCAGUUUCCAAGUGAUUUAGCAAUCCCUCCUAAUCCCCGGCCUAGAACGACCCCUACUUACAUACUUUACUACAAUUGAUAAAAAGAGGGUUUAAUUUUGUGUGUUUAGUUAUUUUACGCAUCAUCUGACAUGGAGGACUAUUUUUAGUUUUUAAUCUUACGUACAAUAUUAUUGAAAAAACAAUCUUAUUUAGGGAUUAAAACGAAGUUUUCUAUUUUGUAAACCAUAAUUAAUGUAUAAGGCCUAACGAAUCAAUAAUGCAAAAAUUAUCGGACCUAAUGAACUAAAACAUAAAAAAUACAAACCGUACCAAAUUGACCAGACCUAAUGGACUAAAACAUAAAAAAUACAAAUUGUACCAAAUUGACCGCAUCGAAUCUAUCGGACCUAAUGAACUAAAACAUAAAAAAUACAAAUUGUACCAAAUUGAUCAUACCGAAUCUAGCGUUAAAAUUAAUGAGAUUCAUUAAUUUUGGAUUAAUUUUUUAAUUAACUUAUUAAUUAAAAAACGUUUUGAUUAAGAGACACAACUCUUAGAAAGAGUUGUGCAUUUUCAAAUACGAUGAACAAGUAUUUGAAAGGGUGUGAAACAACCUAUAUAAUUGCAAUCACAGUUUCCAAGUAGAAUCAGCUUUUCUUCCUCUUUUCUUCCUCUUUUUCAUCCUGUGUUCCUGACACAUUGAAAAAUCUCUUGUCCAAGAUAUCCUUGAAGUCUCCAAUUACAAGACGUGGGUCAUUUGCUCCCUGAAUCCUGCUGCCAAGAAUUCUCCAUUGGUCACGCCCUUUCUUCUCAUCUGUACUCGCAUACACUGCAAAUAAUCUCCAGGUUUGUUGUUUUUGUCCAUCCAUGAUAUGAGCUUCAAUAUGGAAGUUACACAAAAUUAAUGAAUUAGAAUGUAUAUCAUAAUAAAUUUAAAGUUUAAUGUGGAGUCAUUAGAUCGUUAACUAUUAAAACAAAAAUAUAAUAUAAAUUUGAAUUAAGUAUACAUUAAAGGGCUUAGGUUCGAUUCUCGCCAAAGACGGAUUUGAACCACAUUAUUGCUAACCUAUUGUGAGACAUAGCCCACUCCCUCAUCCCUUUACUAUAGAUAAUAUCAUUUGUUAAAAAAAAAAAAUUUGAUAUGUAAUCACCAGAUUUUAUUAAAUUUUAAUCUUCUUCAAGGAUUAAAGUUCAAAAACUCAUUUAAUUCUUAUGAUUUAGAACAUCUCUAAAGGAGAUGUCAUGCCAAUUCCUAAUCGAUAUGUAAUCAAACACCAUAUUUUAUUAAAUUUUAAUCUUCUUCAAGGAUUAAAGUUCAAAAAUCCAUUUAAUUCUUAUGAUUUAGAACAUCUCUAAAGGAGAUGUCAUGCCACAUAGGAAUUGACAUUUCGGUUGAAAAAAUCAUUAGUUUUUUGGGAAAACUUGAUAUAAGUCCAAUUUUUUUAGCCAAUAGUAGGAAUAGUCCAAUUUAUUAAAAUAAGUCCAAUUCCUUAAAUUUAAUUAUUUUAUUAUCAAGUUUCAGCAUGAAAUGAAUAUCGUACUUGAUUUCAAAAAAAAAAAAAUUAUUAUCAAUAAUUAUCUAUUCAAUGAUAAGAUUUAUUAUAAAAAUCAAAUUUCUUCCUAAUUAUCUCUUUGAUUAUUUCUUUUUAUUUUUAUUUUUUGUUAUUUCUUAUUCUUCCUCUUGCUUUAAACCCCAUUUAUAGAUUUUAUUUUUAAUUUUUAUAAUCAACCUAUAUCACAGGUUAAUUAUUUUUAUGUAUUUAUAUGACAGAUUCUUUUUUAUAAUCAACAUGUCACAAAUUAAUGUGUCUUGCUUGUAGGUAUAUUAUGUUUUUUCCUACCUUUUAGUUAGGUUUCAUAUCUCGCUUACAGGUAUAAUAUAUAUUUAUAUAUUUGUUACUUGAGUUAAGGUAGAAUGUUUUGUAGAUAAUUUAUGUUAGUAUAUUAGUUUUUGUUGUUGUAAGAUAUUAACUAGAUUUUUUAGAGUUGAAAAAUACAUAAUAUUAGAAGAUUUUAAUUGAUUUUUAAUAUUUAAAUAUAUAUAUAAAAUGAGUAUAAGAGAAAUAAAAACAUGUAAUUAGAUAAUUGGACUCCCUCCUAAAAAUCAUCUAUGUUUUUUGACCUAGAUCUAAAAACCCCUAGUUUUUUUUAUUGUUAUUGCUAAUAUGAACUUUUUUGACAUCUCAUUUGAAGAUGUUCUUAAGAUGUAUUACGAUUUUUUAUAAUUUUCAAUUUUAUCACAAAAUUGACAGAAUUUUCAAUUUUACAAUGUUGAUGUUAGAGGACACCACUUUCAGCUUGUACCGUUUGGCUCUGGCAGAAAACGUUGUGUUGGAAUGCAAUUAGGGAUUACUGUGGUACACUUUGUGUUGGCACAGCUUGUGCAUUGUUUUGAUUGGGAACUUCCAGAUAACAUGUUGCCAAAUGAGUUGGAUAUGACUGAGGAGUUUGGUUAGUAGUUUCAAGGGCCAAGAAUCUGCUCGCUAUUCCCUCAUUUCGCCUUCAGAAUUGAGCAUGGAUGUUGUGGACUAGCUAUCUUUUUUUUUUCUUUUUUUUUCUUUUUUUUUUAAUGCUGUUUACAUUUGUUUUCUUCACUUGAAGAGGAGAACAAGCACUGGUAUAAAUUAAAUAAGUUUGUGUCAAAUUUUCAAUAAUGAAAAGUUGAGUAUGUAUGUGAAAUCCCGUCUCUGGAAUUUCAUUAUAUAAUUACAUAUUUCAUUAUUUAAAUUCUUAUUUCGUAAUUAUGUGAUUUUUAUUUUAAACCAAAUUUCGUUAAUUUUAGAAUUUUAUUUACUUAGUUACAAAGUUUGAAUUUUUGUAAGCAAUCAUUUAAAAACUGUAAACCUUUAGUGUUCUCAAAUAGAGCUCAAUCCCACGAGAAUGCAGGUGAAAGCCGUUGGCGAAUCGGAACGAUAACGAAGAAGUUACGGACGUUAAAAGUUCGAUAUAAAUAAUAUAAAAACCCUGUUAUAAUAUAAUAUGUAGAUGACCCAUAUGAAUAGUUCCUUACUAUUCAUCUGUGGAAAAAUCACAUGGAUUACUAUUUUUGCAAAGUAAUUUCCCUAUUCCUUGGAAGAAGUUUGUGUAAAGUAAAUAGUAUUGCUACAUUAUUCAAUUAGAUGAAAAUCUCAUAAAUCUCAUAGGUCACUAGACCUAUUUUUCAAAAAAUAGACUACUCUUAAUAAUAGCUCACAAAAUUAAAUUUAUCCACAAAUUUGAUAUGGCAUUCGUGUCCCAGACAAUGACGAGUGAUGUGUGAUUUCAAAAUUCACAUACUACGUGUUUUUGUGGUUGUUGGAGUUUUAAAAGUAUACUGAAAUGACUGACGCACCAUUCCAUUGCCACUACAAAGCGAGGGCGAUCAACAGAAGAAAUCUAAAUUGUCGUUUUAGUCAACUAACCUUACGGUGGCACCUUGACCUUUCUACCAAUUUCUUUUUAUUUUCUCGACCAACAAUUAACAAGGUGUCAGGGCAUGCAACGUGAUUUAUUUUUUAUUUUUUAAUGAAAUGAUCACAGAGCGGCCUUAUAAUUUUUGGAAUGUGCUAUUCACACUUCUUUUUACUUUUCACACAUCUUUUGUUAAUUUCUUUCUGUUAAUUUUCUUCAAUCCAUCUGAUCUGAUGGUCGAAAACCAAAAAAAUAUGAAAGAAGUAAAAAAGGAUGUAUGGAUAUCACAUCCCUAUUUUUUAUGUCUAAGAAAAAUUGGAUCGGCCGAGGUGUCUAUAUGCCAAAUAUCUCGAAAAAUUUCGGGCCAAUGAGCAAGUCGCUCUGCUCGGCCCAAAUUUUAGCUCUUUAAUUAUUUUUAUUUAAAUAUAAAAAAUAGUAAAGUUGUUGAGAAUUAAAUACAAAACUUUUUGAAAUAAAAAAAAAAUUAAGACUUUUUAAUUUUAUUAGUUCUCAAUUACCAUUCCAAAAUAAUAUAUUUGUUUGGUUAAUAUAGCCAUUAUAUAAGUAUUGGAAAACAAAUAUUUCAGAUUAAGAACUUUUGACCCCAUCAAAACAACAACACUUAAUAAACAAAAGGCGUGUACAAAAGACAUCAAAUAAGUUUUUGGUCUUUGGAGUAAUAAUUUAAUGAGGUCUAAUAGCGUAUUGGAUGCGUUCAUUUGCCAAAAUGAGAAACAAUUUCAGAUAAAGAGCUUUUGACCUCAUAAUUACAACACUCCAAAAACAAAAAACAUGUACAAAUGACACAAAAUAAAACUUUGACUUUUUGAGUACUCAUUUUAUAUGGGUCUAAUGCAUAUUGGAUGUUUUCAGUUCCCAAACACUCAAAAAACAAAACACGUAUACAAAUGACACCAAAUAAGCUUUUGACUUUUUGAGUACUCAUUUUAAGGGUCUAAUAGCAUAUUGGAUUGUUCAUUUUCCAAAAUGAGAAACAAUUUCGGAUCCCAAACUUUUGAAACCAUCAAUUAAACAUCACUUCAAAAACAAAAAAAACGUCUACAAAUGACACCAAAAUAAGCUUCUAGCCUUAUGUGUACUUAAAUUACAUCAAAUCAUAUCGAGUCAGGCCUAAGAAUCGAACCUAAAAUGCAAAGCCAAAGCCCUAUCCAUUUAUAAUCGGGUAGCCUAAAGGCCAACCCUACGCCUGGGUCAAAAAAUUAGGGUUGGGCUGGCUAUCAAGCCUCAUCUCUUUUUAUAAGUCUAUCGGAUAGAGUCUUGGGUGUAUGCUAAUCUUGGUCGAGUUGAGAUUCUAUGUGCUGAAGUUUAGAGUGUUUUUAUUGGGUUGCAACUUGCGUGGAAUAAUGGAAUUGUUACAAAAAAAGAAUAAUGAAAUUAAAAAGAUUAUGGCAUAAUCGAAUUUUGCACUUGAAAUACAAUAGAUGUUAAAUGCAAAAGUGGAUAAUCACUCUUUGAAAAGUUAGUAUUGAUUUCUUGUGCUUUUAUGCAGUAGUUAUAGACUAUGAUUUUAAGAAAAUUUGACAAUAACAUAAGAAGUUUAUUUAUUUAUUUAUUUAUUUUUUUUUGUGGUUGUAGCAUUCUAUAAAGCAUACUGAAAAUGAUUGAAGCACCAUUCCAACUGUGCGGGCAAUCUUUGGUAGCAGUCAACAGAAGAAAGCCAAAGGAUAAUCACCCUCUGAAAAGUUAAUAUUGACUUCUUGUCCUCUUAUGCAGUAGUUAUAGACUAUUAUGAUUUUAAGAAAAUUUGACAAUAACAUAAGAAGGUUUUUUUUUUCCUUUUUUUUUGGGGGCGGGGGUUGUUGUAGCAUUCUAAAAAGCAUACUGAAAAUGGUCCAAGCACCAUUCCAACUGUGCGGGCGAUAUUUGGUAGUAGUCAACAGAAGAAAGCCAAACCUUAUAUAUAAAGAGAACACAAAAGGUCAAUAGUGCUUUUGGUGUCAUCACCAAGCUUCAACAAAACAUUUGGAUAAAAAUACCCCAAGACAAAAAACUUCAAAUGCAUCCCAAAUAAUGCAUCAAAUAAGUCAGGGGUAUUUUCAUCAUUUUAACAAUGCUUUUUUUAAUAAUUAAUUUUUUGGUACGGUUUUUUUUAAUUUUUUAUAAUUAGUACCUCACACUAGUCUAGCAAUUAUGUGAUUCAAUUUUUUUUUUAUUUUUAAACACGUUCAAAACAUCUUAAAAAGCGUGUAAUGUCGGUUAUAAAAAAAAAUCUUUCGCACACGGAUAAUAAUGUGAUUAAAUAAAUUGUCAAAUGAUUUUUUUUUUUUAACAAACGAUAUUAUUUACACUAAGGGGGAGGGGGUGGUCUUAGCCUCACAAUGUGAUAGUAAUAAUUUGAUUCAAUCGGUUGUUUAUUAAAUAUCAUUUUCUCUAUUUUUAAAUACGUUCAAAACAUCUUAAGAGGCGUAUAAUGCCAGAUAUAAAAAAGGUAAUUCGCAAGCAGAUAAUAAUGUGAUUAAAUUAAUUAUCAAAUGAUUGUUUAAAAAAAAACGAUAUUAUCUACACUAAGAAGGAAGGGGUGAGUUUAACCUCACAAUGGGCUAGCAAUAAUGUGAUUCAAUCAAUUGUUUAUUAAAUAUUAUUUUCUCUAUUCUUAAUGUAAAUUCUAUAGAGACCGAUUUUAUUAUGUGAAUUCAGCUGCUUUAAUUGGUUUAUGAGAGGUUUCUUCUAGCAUGAUCUAAAAUUAUUCAUUUAUUUCAAAUAUUUGAUUUUCCUUUUGUUUAAUGUGAUUCAAUUUCUCUAUUUUUAAAUACGUUUAAAACAUCUUAAGAGACGUGUAAUGCCGGUUAUAAAAGGGUCUUUUGCACACGGAUAAUAAUGUGAUUAAAUAAGUUGUCAAAUGAUUUUUUUUUUAACAAACAAUAUUAUCUACACUAAGGGGUGUGCUUAGCCUCACAAUGGGCUAGCAAUAAUGUGAUUCAAUCAGUUGUUUAUUAAAUAUUAUUUUCUCUAUUUUUAAACACGUUCAAAACAUCUUAAGAGGCGUGUAAUGCCGGUUAUAAAAAAAGUUUUUCACACGCGGAUAAUAAUAUGAUUAAAUUAAUUGUCAAAUGAUUUUUUUAUUUAAGAAAUGAUAUUAUCUACACUAAGGGGGAGGAUGUUGGUUUAGCCUCACAAUGUGUUAGCAAUAAUGUGAUUCAAUCAAUUAUUUAUUAAAUAUUAUUUUCUCUAUUCUUAAUGUAAAUUCUAUAGAAACCGAUAAUUUAUUUAGGACCUUGACAUUCUUCCAAUUUUUUUAUUGAACUCCGUUAAACUUUAUGAAUUUAUAACUCUUUUUAAAUCGUUGGAUUAAUACCACUUGCUUGGGAAAGAAAAUACUGCUUGAUAAACUUUAUAUUUAUUGACAUCUUCUCACAACAUAAAUGAUUGAUUGAGCUUAUCCUGAUAUUAAAAAUAUUUUAUGAGCUCAACAGAAUUGUACCAACUACCAAGCACCCCAAGAACAAACACCUUAAAACCUUCCUAAAUGUGUCUUAGAGCAUCUUCAAGAAAAAUUAUUGUUAAACUAGCUAGGGAACAAUGCCAGAAAACUAUUUUAGCUACUCAGUUUAAUUUUUCAUUUCUAACAACGCUUUAUUUUAGCUACCCAGUUCAACUUAUUAACAGUAAUGGAAUUUUUUUGGCUGCGAACAGGGUUUUUGUGGAUGGGAUUCGGGCUUGAUCAAGCGCACUAGAUUACGGUUGUCUAUGUACGAAUGGAAGCUAAUUUUGUGACACAUGGAUUGGCUCGUUAUAGUGUACAAUGUCGUGAGUCAUCGUUUUGGGUUGAAACGGGACCUCCAUGGCUAUUGCGUAGUGUCAUGGUUGAGUCCAGGGUUGGGGUUCAUUUGUACUGUGCAUGUAUGGUCUUUUUUUCCUUGGCCAAGGUUUUUCCCACUGGUUUACUCGAUCAAAGGUUUUUUCCAAGACCUUUCUGAUUUACAUGCGGUUGAUGUAAUUGUUAUGAUGUUCGGCGAAGGCAGUAACAAGGUUAGGGUGGGCUUUAGCAUAUGAAGAGUUUUAAUUGUUUGGGCUUAAAAAUACUUAUAGUUUAGACUAUUUUAUUAUUUUUAAUUAUUAUAGCCCACACAAUAAGUAAAAGUUCUGAUAAUAAGACUACUUUUAGAAAAGGAAAGAGUUAAAAAUUAUUAAAUAAAUUGUUUACUUUAGUGAAAGUUCUAGACAUGCUUCCUAGGUUCUCUAGAGAGUAGUCUAUAGGUUUUAAUAUUUUAUUAUUUUUAUAUUUCCUAGGGAGUAGUCACAUGGUUUUAAAAACUAGGUUUUAGUAUUUUAUUAUUUUAGGUUUUAUUGGGAGUAGUCACACACAGUUCUAGGUUUUUAGAAGUAAUUAUUAACUUUUAUUAUUUUAUUCAUUUUAAUGAGUACUCACACGUUUCUUAAGAUUGUAUUUUCGGCUUUUGAAGGCUAUAACAGUAACCCAUUUUUUUCACUUUUUAGAAAGCUUUGGUGACAUUUGUGUACAAUUCACAGACACUGAGCCUACAAUUGUGAAGGUUUGUUGAUUUUUCUCGUCAAUAGAUAAGUUUAUGACUACUUGAAAAGUUCAGUUUCAAAUUUAAUAUAUAAUUUUUGAUAAGUUUAUUUAUUUAUUAUUUGAAUUUUAAGAGUUUGUACUUGAAAAGUUCAGUUUCAAAUUUAAUAUAUAUUUUUUUCUGAAAGAUUUCUUAGAAAUAUAAUUUAUUAUAUAAACUUGUUUAUUGUUUUUCAAUUUGUUAGGUCAACGUCUGUUCAAUGAAGAUGUUAAGAACUAUUGAUUCAUUCUUUAGAAAAAGAGAUGAUGGUGAUAAAUUAGAGAGUGAUAUACCUUUUGCAUCUAAUGAUAUCACACCAAUAUCAACUGAGUAGCCUCAUGAUCCUCACCAGACAUCUAAUAUAAUUUCUUACUUCAAAUUAUUGCUUUUAAGCUUAUUAUUGUGUAACUUCAUGUAAGUAACAAAACAUUUUAACCAUUUGAUUUCGUAGUAAUAAUUUUAGUUUAACCCACCCAACAAAUAAUUCCUGGCUCUGCCAUUGAUGAUGUUGAUGUUGAAUGAAUUAUCCUUCUUCUCAAACAAAAAAUAAAAAAUUAACGCUUCAUUUUAACAAGCUUUGAAUAUUUUAUUAUUAACAAUUUAAACUAAACCCACUCAUUUUGUAAAACAACAUUCUCUCUCUUCCUUUUCUCCUUGUUCUACACUUGAGUUUUAUUAUUAUUUUUUACUAUUUUGCAAGUGAGUUGUUACACUCUAAAUUUAAAGAGAGACUGCUCAUUUUGCUAUAGUAAAGACUCAUUUACAGCAACUAAUGGAGAUGAGUUUUCUUUAAUUUUUUUAAAUUUAACUCUUUAAAAUAGAAUUUUGGUUGUUUUUACAGAAGGUUGAUCUGGGGGAGAGAUAGGAAAUCUUCGUCUAUAGCUUGGAGCGAAGUGUGUAAUAUUAGAAGCGUGGAUCAUUUCAAUAAUGCUUGUCUUGCUAAUAGUUGGAAAGUUUUAAAGGAUAAGAAUAAUUGGUGGGUAUACUUAAAAUAGUGUGAUUUCCUAGGUUGCAAGAUUAAGCAAAAUCACUAUGUGGCUUGGAAAGACAUUUUAAUUAAUAGACACAAUAUUCACAUGAGAAUGAGGUGGGUGGUGGGUCAUUUAAGGAUAUCAAUUUUUGGACCCAUAGAUGGGCUUUUUCCUUACCCAUUAUUCCAUCUUAUUCCGGUAAGUCAAGGGCAAAAUAGUAAUCCGAAAAUUAAAAUUAGUGAUUUUAUUGAUAAUAAGAGUUGGGACAGGGAUAAACUCUUGCAAGUUCUGGAUGUGGAUACUGUGAGAAAAAUUCAUUUGGUGUCUAUUUCCUUGCAAUAUAAGGAGGAUUACUUUAUUUAGGACCACUCCUAUUCUGAUGAGCUUUCAAUUAAGUUAGCCACUUGGAUCCAGAGCAAUAAAAACCAAGAAGUAAAUCGGCAAAAGCUCCUUAAGAGGAUGUGGAAGUUAAUUAUCCCGCAUACCGUACGGUAACAAUUUUUGCUUGCCUUCUUAUUCAUUGUAAAUUGAACACUAGGGUGAGGUUAAGUAAAUAUAUUCAAAAUAUGGAUAAAUCGUGUCCUUUGUGUGGAUAGGAUGAUGAGACUCAAAAUCAUCUCUUUCUUAAUUGUGAGUUUUCAAAAGAUAUGUGGAACCGUUCGCUGCUGAAUCCUUGGUUGAAUAAUACCGUUCAGGUGAACGGUAUCUUGGAUUGGUUGGAAUCUAUUAAUAGUGUCGAGUGCAAUAGUUUGAGUUAGCUUAAUAAAGCUUUUUUGAAAUUGUUGACAAAUUUAGAAUGAUAGAAAUAACAAAGUGUUUCGAAGUAUAUUCCUCAUCCUUCCAGGAGCAUUGCAAUUCCAGCUAGAGUUGGUUUAUCCUAUUUUGAGGCUAAUUUAAUAAAAUAAAAUAAUAAAAUAAUAAAAAAUAAAAAAAACUCUAAGAGUAGCCAGUGUUACUGAUAAAUUAUUUGUUGGCGUCCUCCCUCUCAUGGCUUUUUAAAAUUAAAAUUUGACAGAUCGGUUUGUCAAGAGAAAGCUGCAACUACGUUUGUUCUUAGGGAUGAGGACGGUCAACCUAUUGGGCCGGUGAUUUGGAUCUUGAUGGUGUCACUAUUUCGGUUACAGAGGCUCUGUGUUAAAAGAGGGUUGUUUGUUUGCCAGGUGCAAAUAGGAAUGGUAAUGGUUCGGUUUAGGGAUAUAAAUGUUAUCUUCAUUCCCAUUACCACGAAAAUUAACGAUAUCCGUAACAGCUAUUGAACCAUCAUUUAUUAUCCAUAAUCAUACCCACCGGGUAACGGAUUUUCCAUCGGUUAAUAGUUAUAUCCAUCUUCGUCAAUACAAAAAAUAUAUUCGUUCAAUUGACGCAUUAUAAUUUAGUAAAAAUUAAUUUCGUCAUUGAAUAUUUGAUGUAUAAAAUGAUUGAAUGGAUGGAAUUAUUGUUUACUGGCCUCGACCAUUGAAACUUUUAUUUUAUUUUAUUUUUUUGAACAAAAAAAAAUAAGUAAAGCAUAGUGCAAUCUUGCUCCAAUGGAAGCUCGAAAUUUUGUGUCACGCCCCGGACCAGGGUUGACAGAAAAAUGAACUCUGCGCCCGCUGCUUGAAUAAAAAUAAAAAUAAAUAGCAGAAAGAAAAGAAGAAAAGGGUGAAAUGAAACUGUGCAUUGUGGGCUUGCCUGAGACCUAGUACCUACUUUUAUUAUUGUUUAUGGUUUUCUUGUGGGCUAAGGAUAUUAGAGUUUCUUGCCCGUUAAAGAUUAGGGUUUUGCUUUAGUUUUCACUAUAUAUAGGAGUGAUUGUAUUAGUUUAUUUAAUCAAUUCAUUCACAAUGUAGUCUUUUAGGGUUUUGUAGCCGUUUCAGCAUUCUCAGUUAGUUUAAUAAUAUUUUUAUUAUUUUGUUAGUCUUGUUCAUUCUGCACUCUGAUAUUCAACUUGGUAUCAGAGCAGGUUUGAUCCUUUGAGAUUUAAUCUGCCCUUGAUUCGUAUCAGUUUGUUUGUUCGUUUUGUUCGUUGAUUAGAUUGUUGUUGGUUUAGUUUUGAAAAAAACAAUUGUUUGCUCGGAAGUUGCACCACUUCCAUCUUUGCAACUUUCGUCGAAGCCCUUAUUGCACCAGACACGACCCCACCACCACCAUCUGCCUGCAACCAUCCUACACCUGAACCGCACUCGUUGUUGCACUUGCACCCAGAUCCUUUGCGGUUGUCUCACAGCCGCCAAGCCAUCCAGUCACCCACCUUUGCAUCACCGCAUCCAGGCCUGCCUGGACCACUCCUGCAGCAGUACAAGAUCCGCUUCAUCUGCAUCAGUUCGACUCGCCCUACCUUGCCUGCAUGACUCACUACCGCUGCACCCAUAACCUGUCUCUAGUUUGAUCCUCCAGAAUUUAUUGAUUGCUGGAAUGGAUUAUUCGUUUGUUCACUUGAAUCGCUUGCCUUGUCGUGUCCGCUUAAUAGAGCUUGCCUUGUCGUGUCCGCCUAAUGGAGCUUGCCUUGUCGUGUCCACCUAACGAAGCUUGUCUUGUCUUGUCCGCCUAAUGGAGCUUGCAUCCGCAUCUGCUUGUUGGCAAACUCAUGACGUGUACCGCGAUGAGUUUGACGGGGGGUGUUGGAAAAUUAGUUAUUAUUUUAUUAUUGUUUAUGGUUUUCUUGUGGGCCAAUGACACGCCCCGACCUUGAUAUUCCCCGAAUACCAAGAUAGACACAUGCUGGUCGACACCCGAGGGUGACGAAAGCCAUUAAUUGAUACAAAAGCUAAGAAUAAGAAAUAAAUAAGGGUUAGAAAUUUGAAAUACAAUGAACUAACAAUUUAGGAACGUGUUCAGAGCAUACAACUAAACAUAAUCACUAAAAAGAUUUAGAUAAAAUUUAAUGAAUAAAGAAGUGGGUCCUACAUCGAGAGGAUUCGAAGAUGCUGCUGCGGAAAUGCCUUCACGCCAGGAUUAGGUGCCUUGAUUCUAAGUCCUGAAUGGGGGUGCAAAACAAAGGUGAGUGGACCAAGUUCAUAAAUACAAUAAUAAUAAAACAGUUAUCAAUAUACUAACCCCCAAAGUUUAUAUAAUGAAAACUACUAGCAUAAUAAAUGAUGGAUUUAAUAAAAAUCCUAGCAUGCCAAAUAUCUCAAAAGUCAUGUCGCGGAAACGCAUCGCGGAAAUCAAAAUAGUAAACGUAUCAUAAAUCGUCUCGUAAACGCGAUGUGCUGCUAGAAAGAUCACUGAAUAAAUAUAACUCUCGGCCUAAUGCCUGCACCUCAGUCUCUGUGCCCGUAGCCAGAGAUAACUCCCUCCCGGCCCAAUGCCUGUCUCCGUGUCCCUCAGCCUUUCGCUAGGGAUUAUUUCUCCCGGCCUACAUGCCAACACCAGAUCCUCGCCCCAGGCGGCAUAGUGUCCACUAGGUACGCACAAAUAGUUACGUCUCUCUUAAAUAACCACUUCAUAGCAUAGGUUACCGAUCAUCGUCUACACUAUAAAGAGGGGUUCAAAAACAUGUUCUAGCAUCCUAUCGUCAUUUAUCAGAUAGUCUACCAGUUUAUGAUUUUUAUAGAAAAUACGAUAUAUUAAAAUAUAGCUCAAUAUAGGCCAACAAUUAAUUCAUCACCAAAAACACGAGACGAUAAUCAAUAUAUUAAAUCAACAGGCUCCACAUAAAUCAGAUCAUAAAUUCAUAGGCAUGCUAAUCAUUUAUGCAAUUACUAUAAAAUCAUGUAAUUUUAGAAGGGGUCCACUCACAGUACUUAGUUGCCCAAAGCUGCGCCACUAGCGAAGACGAAAACGUCACAAUAAUUGCUCCUAAGCACAUAAAGAGUCCAAUAAAUAAAACUAUAUAAUAGCAAUUGAAUUUGGGAAAACGGAUUCAGAACGUCGAAUUACCCUAAGAAGAGUCCCGGACGAAAACCUGAAAAGUCAACCCUAAAGUCAACGUUGACCGAGGGUCAACGGUCAAAUUAGGUCAAACAGGUUUUAGGUUUGAAAUCCGGAUUAGGGUUUAGGUUAAAUAGGAUUAUGAUCUAUUGGGUUUGGAUGGGUUUAGGGUUUUAAAGGAUUUUAGGAACCUAGGGUUUUUGGGUUAAAAGGGUAUUAGGGUGAGAAUUGGGGUUUGGGCUUUAGCCCAAACACACACAUACACUACGAAUACACACACACACACGGCAUGCAUAAAUACAUACACACACACACACACCCACGGCACCAAGGCCCUAAGGCCUCACAAAAACUAGCAGGGCUUUAAGCCCCUUUUUAAAUGGAACCGGCCCAAGGCCAGUUUAAAUAAGGCCCAAGGUCUUUGGGGAGGGUUUUAAAAAGAACAAGAAAUAAUAAAAAAAACUAAAGGGCUGGGGGGUUUUAACGGGCUUAAGGCCCAAGGGGAAAGGAAAAGGAAGGCCGGUGGCCUGGUUUUGCCGAGACAGAGAAGGCUGGAAAUUCGGCCGGAAAACCACCUAACUUUAAACGACUAUAACUUUGUCACUACUCAACAAAAUCAAGCGAGACAAAAACGAAAGUUGUAGCCCUCGAAGAGAAGAAGAGAAUGGUACCUCACACGACGUCUAACGCGCGUGGUUUGGCCGGAAAUGGCCUCGAAAGGGGCGGUGCUCGCCGGAGCUCGUGAACAGGGCUUCAUGGUUCGACUUCCAAGAUGCCAAGACUAUGGUUGAGUUCGUAGCGACGAGAUAAAGACGAUGGUGAUGUUUGUUGGUAAGAAAAACUCUCGAAAGGGUUGAGAUAGAGAGAGCCGAGAGAGUGAGGGAAAGAGAGUUGCGGGAGAGGUGAGGGAGAAGAGAGAACUGAGAGAAGAGAGAGGGAGACCAGAAAACAUAAAAUAAAACAAGGUGGGCCCCACGGGCUCACCGAUUAAGGCUUUAAAAUAAUUUUUAAUUAACAAACGGGGUUGGGGUGUUUCAGCCAAGGAUAUUAGAGUUUCAUGCCCGUCAAGGAUUAAGGUUUUACUUUAGUUUUCACUAUAUAUAGGAGUGAUUGUAUUAGUUUAUUUAAUCAAUUCAUUCACAAUGUAAUCUCUUAGGGUUUUGCAGCCGUUUUGGCAUUCUCAAUUAAUUUAAUAAUAUUCUUAUUAUUUUGUUAAUUUCGUUCGUUACGCACUCUAACAUUCAACUAAAACUGGUUUGGUUAAUUAGUUCAAGCAUAUACAUAUAUGUAUUACAACAAAAUGACAAACUGAUAACAUAUAUAUAUAGACAUACACACACACACAACCUUUUGUAUAUUACAACAAAAUGACAAACUGAUAACAUAUAUGAUAUAUAUAUAUAUAUAUAUAUAGACACACACACAACCUUUUGUACAUAGCUUUUAUAGCAUAGUGAUACACACACACACACAACCUUUUGUACAUCAGCUUUUAUAGCAGAGUGAUAACAUAUAUAUAUAUAUAUAGACACACACACACAUAACCUUUUGUACAUCAGCUUUUAUAGCAGAGCAGCCAAACCAAAUUGAUAAACCACACAUAUAGCUGUUUGCACAACAACUUUUAUAAUUAAACAUGCAGUAGAAAAGGAUACCCAAAUAAACAUAUCAACAUUUAUACAUGAUUAAACCUUAAAUUACUUUCAGUGUAAGUCUCUAUAUCACUAUAACUCUCAAUAACAACCUCAAAAGAAAUAACCAUGAAAGGUGUUGGAGUUUUUUUAGUAGAAAUAUCAUUCUAGCUCAUUGUUCUACAUUGAUCACUCCUAAAAUGUUCCCCCAUUUUAUAAGACAUUGUCCUUAUUACAAAGUGAUAGGAGUGAUAGACCAUGAAGAGCAAACUUGAGCUCAACCUUGGGUUUGGGUUUUGAGGUGUGAUAAUUAAUUAAUAAUUAAUAUAGAAUUAAUUAUCAAAAGAUGGACAUUGGGACUCUGGCUCCAAUAAUUAAAUUCAAUAAUUAAACUUUUAGUUUAUUAAAUUACUUUCGGAUUUAAUUAAUUUUUUUCUUUUUCAACAGACUCCUCUUUUCAGAUGAAGUCUAAGAGCGUUUGAGAACGUAUGAAUAAGUUUAAGAAAAAGAUGGAGCAACACACCCUUUGCUUUGAAUGGUGUAAACUUGCAAGUGCACAAGAUAGUCGUAAUAUAGCUUUUUGCAAGUCCAAGGAUCAUUCCCACGAGGAUUCUAAUUCAAUCUCCAAUUUGAUAAACUAAACCAAAUCUAAUUAUAUUAAAGACACACAAACCCAAAAAUAUAAACCCAAACAAUGAACUAGACUCUAUCUUAAUUAAUAAUUCAAUCAAAGAUGUGAAGAGUUUGUUGUGAUGAUUUUAUACACGAACAGAAACUCGUUACCCUCCAAAUGCUUUCAGGUAAGAGCAAGAGCUACAACAGUUGGGCUAAAUUGUCUAUAAAAGGAAGGACGGUCCCCAGAGACAAGGACACUCAACCAAUCAAACAAACAAACUUACAAACUCUACUCUCAAACCAGAUUUGCAUCCAAAAGCUGAAAUCAACCCAGAUUCAGUCCUUUUAGAGAUAGUUCUUUAAGAAAAGCUAUCUCUCGUCUAGUAUAAAAGUUCUGCUAUCUCCCUUAGUUGUGUAGUAUCGAUUCCCUUGUGUGAACUUGUUUUCCAUCCAUCCCUUUUUAGCAUAUAAACCCUGUAUAUUCAAAGAGAAGUGACUGCAAGAAGUUCAACCUUACCAGACAAGGUGAAAUCUUGCUUGAAGCUUUUUGUUUGUUUUCUAAAUUAGUAGAUCUAUUGCUUAAUGCAUUCUCCAGCAUGUAUUCAAGUUAUUUCCACCUGUUUUUUCUAUUUUAAGAGUUCUCUUUGCAUCUAGAUCUGGUUAGCUUGAUGAAUAUGUUUUCAUUAAAUGUAAUCUGGAACCAAACUAGUAAUUUAAGGGGCUCCGGACUCCCUUCAUUUGAACAUACAAGAUUAUGAACUAAAAGUCUUUGUUUACAAGGCAAGAAAAAGAACUUAAUAACCCAUCCACGAUAAUCCUCUAAUAACAAGAAGUUUAAAGUAACUUGGGGCGCAAGUAAUCAACUUAAAACACAUUUGUUCUACAUCUGCUUUACUGAGAUAGCAGUGGCAUGCAUAGCACUUAGUUAGUUUUGAUUACGAGCCUCAAGGCCUACACCUAAGGCCCCAUAAAGGCACCUUUCAGAACUAACUUUGUUCUCUUCUUGUAGCACAUCAACAAGUAAGAGCCCGACUACACAUCCAAAGUACCAAUCCCUUAGGGAGCUGUGCUGAGUACCGAGGAACCUUCUCCAAAGGAAUCUUUGCACGAACAGCCCCCUUAUUUUCUUAUUUUCAGGUCGAAUGGUUAAGAAAAUAAUUUCUUCAUCCUUCUUUUUAGCAAAAGAAAAUGAAAAUGGGUGAACCAUAAUCAGGAAGAGGUCAACGAUGCUUUAUUCGAAGCCGAGAUCUUUUUAUAUCAAAAUUUUCACUUUGAGUUUUUCCAAGGUCGAAUAAAAGAUCAUCUCCAAAUAUAUUUGGCUUGACGAAAGAUUUUUUAUCAUCGGCAGCCGAAUGUGUUGACCAAUUAUUAUGCCUCUCAGGCAUAAUUACUUCAUCAGUUUCAGCUUUUAACUCAAAUAACUUAGCCAAAUAGGAUUGCUCCAUAUCGGUUUUAUCGCGAAUAACCAUAUCGACUGUUAUGGUUUCAGAGUCUAAUAUCACGUCUCCAAUUACCAUAUCAAUUGAUGUGGCUUUUUCGUUUGAAAUUGUGUAUCAGCCUUGUUCGUCAUUGGAACACUCCUUUGAGGAAUCAUUUUCCGAGUCAAAUUUUGUAUUUGGCUCAGAAACUUGAACUUUUUCUUCUAGGCCUACCAAACUUUCAGUAAUUGGCAGCCUAGGUUUUUUUUUGGCCGCCUUGACAAUUUUCUUGAGCCAAAGUUUGACUGUGGCCGCGGUGGUUAAUAGCUCCCAGGCCUCUUGCCUUUCUUUUUCAAAAAUUCUACACGCAUCAAAAAAAUUUCUAUAGCACUCCUCAAGGAGUUUACUUGCUCCUCGAGGUUUUUUUUUAAUAGGCGAUAAAUCUCGUCCAAUAGGGCCUGAUUGAGAUCUUGAUAUAUCAUAUGAACUUCGUAGCUUUAGCACUAGGUCCCACUCGUCAUGCCAAAAUGUUGACCCUAAAAACUACCUAGCCUACGUGGUGCAUGGUUGAAUGCGAGACGUGCCAACUCGUUGGCCGAGUUUGGUCUGGGAUUAAAAUAUAUUGAUGUGACGUUGGGCGCGUUGUUGACUUCUUGAUCUCGCGACUGCGGCAAAGGAAGAAACACAUCUCGACCUUUGGGUUCUAGAGCCUGAAAACAAUGAUGCUAGUUCUGUGAAGUUCAAUAUCAAAUUCGGCUUUCAAUGUGACAAAUGUAGUAACCUGGUAACACCUUACUUCGUCGAGAAGGCUAAUGAGAUGACCUUUUCCAACAAAGACUCGGAAAUCCUUACUGACUUAGACUUGGAUAAAUAACCAAUCGGUCUAAGCAAUGUUGUCUAUCCAAACUGAAUGUGCUCCUUGAUUGGUUGAUUCUACGACUCUAGUACUGUUUAUCCAAACUAAAGAUGUUGUCGGUUGCCUCCACAAUGUUGUCUAUCCAAAUUGAAGAUGUGUUGGUGGAGAAAAAGAAAAUAAAAAUCUCAAAGUGUUUGUGAGGUUUGUGCAAAACAAUUGUGUGUUGAAUUGGAGGGGGUUGAAUUGUUGCAUGCGGCUCCGUAUUUAUAUUGGUUGUAUUUUACUUAGCACAGCCUGAUAGCUUUGUAGAGUCCAACUAAAAAUCAAACUCCCUCCACACGCUAACAUGCGGCAUCACGACCAUAUUUUGACUCUUGAUAAGCCAAUCCCUUUUGCUAUAAUUAUCACAACUUGAAUUGGUACUAGUCAGGCAGCAUGUGUUAUUUUUCUUAUUUUUCUCUACAAUUGAGGGAAAUGCGGAGAGAGAGAAAGCCGUUCGGCUCUGGGCUUGAUGCUAGGGAGAGAAGUGGCUGAGGGUUUUCACAAAAAAAAAAAAAAUAUCUGAAAUGAAAAUGAGCAGCUGCUACCAGAUGCGGAUUAUAUAAUGAGUUCCUAGGGUUAUUGACACGUGAGAACUACACGUGUGAUUCCGUGUAUGUGAGAGUGGUCUAGCGCCUUUCGUCAGCUAGCAGGUCUUGGGAACGAGUCCUGAAUCCAGCACCCCUUUACUUCUUUUUGCUGAUUUUCCCAGCCUUGUGGUCCCAGGCUCCAGCGCCUCUUUUCACUCCAGGUCGCGAGUUAGAGCAAUUCCACCCCUGUGGACUUUGCGCCAGCACCCAGCGCAUUUAUCCACUCAAAUGAACAGUAACAGACUCCAAUGAACAGUAAUAGGCCAAGGCAUCUCCACCCCUAAAAAAAUGCGCUGGCACCUAGUGAAAAAAUGUGCUGGCACAAACGAUCUCCAUCCCUACAAAAUGCGCUGGCACCCAGCCCAUUUAAGAUAUUUUUAAAUUUUGUCUAAAAGAAUAAAAAAAUAAAAUAGUUUUAAUUUCGGAUAGGAUUUUUAACCAAUCUGAACGUACUAUUUUGUAAAUUAACAUUUUUCAAAUAUUUAUGUAAUUUUUUUAAAAUUUUCUGUACUUUUUAAUAAUUUUUCUGUAUUUUUUAAUAAUUUUUAAUGAAUUUUAAUAUAGUUAAUUAAUCUGGACCGUUGGAUUUGAAAAAUAUUCAAAUCCAAGAGCCAGGGACUUGCCACGUGGCCAACGGUCAUAUUUCUGACUGUUGGGGCCUUUUUUUUUUUUUUUUUUUACUUUUUUGUAAAAAAAACGUGGACCGUUGAUUUUUGAUCCGACGGUCUAUGUUAAAAGUAAAAUUUAAAUUUUUUUUACCGUUGGAAAUCCAACGGUCUAGAAAACUAGCCGUUGGAAAUCCAACGGCCGAAAGAAAGCCACGUCGCCAACUCGGGGGGUGGAGUCAGUGCGCCUGUCACGCGGGCCCGGCUCUGAAACCGUGUCGGGUACUCGCCGCAUCACGGGCGUGAAUCGCACGCGCCAGGCCAAUGGCCCGGCUUCUUGCUCAGUCCAUUUUGGGCUGGUCUAUGAAAUGAGCUGGUACCCAGCCCGAGCUGGGCAAUGGACCAGCCCAAAAUGGACUGAGCAAGAAGCCGGGCCAUUGGCCUGGCGCGUGCAAUUCACGCCCGUGAUGCGGCGAGUACCCGACACGGUUUCAGAGCCGGGCUCGCGUGACAGGCGCACUGACUCCACCCCCCGAGUUGGCGACGUGGCUUUCUUUCGGCCGUUGGAUUUCCAACGGCUAGUUUUCUAGACCGUUGGAUUUCCAACGGUAAAAAAAAUUUAAAUUUUACUUUUAACAUAGACCGUCGGAUCAAAAAUCAACGGUCCACGUUUUUUUUACAAAAAAGUAAAAAAAAAAAAAAAAAAAAAAGGCCCCAACAGUCAGAAAUAUGACCGUUGGCCACGUGGCAAGUCCCUGGCUCUUGGAUUUGAAUAUUUUUCAAAUCCAACGGUCCAGAUUAAUUAACUAUAUUAAAAUUCAUUAAAAAUUAUUAAAAAAUACAGAAAAAUUAUUAAAAAGUACAGAAAAUUUUAAAAAAAAUUACAUAAAUAUUUGAAAAAUGUUAAUUUACAAAAUAGUACGUUCAGAUUGGUUAAAAAUCCUAUCCGAAAUUAAAACUAUUUUAUUUUUUUAUUCUUUUAGACAAAAUUUAAAAAUAUCUUAAAUGGGCUGGGUGCCAGCGCAUUUUGUAGGGAUGGAGAUCGUUUGUGCCAGCGCAUUUUUUCACUAGGUGCCAGCGCAUUUUUUUAGGGGUGGAGAUGCCUUGGCCUAUUACUGUUCAUUGGAGUCUGUUACUGUUCAUUUGAGUGGAUAAAUGCGCUGGGUGCUGGCGCAAAGUCCACAGGGGUGGAAUUGCUCUUAGAAUCCCAGGUGUGUCAAAUUCCUCUUCUUUUAUUUUUAUUUUUAUUUUCGUUGUUUAUUUGAGCUUCUUUGUCUAGUUAUAGUUAGUUUCAUUAUUUGAUUUUCUUUUUGUUGUUUUAUAUUUUAUUUUAUUUUAAUUUCUUUUCCCCACCAUGGGGACAAUGUGUGAUUUAAGUUUGGUGGUGGGAAAGUAAAAUUUUAGGUUUUAAAUUUUUCAAUCAAGUUUAAAAUUUUCAGUUUGUUUUUUAAGUUAAUGUCCAUAAAUUAUUUUAAAUAUUAGAACAAAUGGACAUAGUGAAGGUUAAUCUCACAGAAGAGUUCUUUUCUAUUUAUCGUUGCUUAGACACUAAUUCAUGAGUUAUACUUUAAAAAUUUGCACAUUCACAUCAACAUGGUUUGUGGGGAGUGAAAUUGAAGCACUUACUUUUCGUCUAAGUUAAUUUUUAAUUUUCGUUCUAAAUAAAGUGAAGUUUAGUUAUUAUUACAAAUAAGUAAUAAUUGUUUCACCUGAGACUUUGCUUAGUAACUGGCCAGUCCUGCUUGAUCAGCAAUGAUUCUCGUGUCAAAUGGAAGAGUUUUGGCAUGGGGCAGGGUGGUUAGUUGGUUUUGUAGCCUUUUCAGCUUGAGUUAGUAAGUCCUUAGGGGUGUUCUACACCUAGUGCCCUAAAGCCUUGUGGUUUGGGAGUCAUUGACCUAAAAUUUGUUACAUGGGUUGGAUUGAAAGUUUAAUGGAAUUGACAUUGCACGACCACUACAAUUACUAGAAAAAAAAAUAUGAAAAAAAAGUCAAAAAGAAGAAAGAAAAAAAAAUAUUUAUGUUUAAAGUUAGUAUGUAUGAAGUAUUAAAUAAAAAUGAUGAGUUGUAAAGGUUUUAGCUGAGUCUCUUUAACUUGGUUGGUUCACUUUACACCAAAGGAAGUUCAUGAAUUCUUUUCUAAUUGAUUCUAAAUAGCUUAGACUCUAUGGUGUGAUUAGUUGGAACUUUUGAAAAUAUGUUCUGAUUUUUAAUGUUUUCUAUGGCUUACGACUUGAAGAUGAAAAUUUUGUCUUGGUUGAGUUUUAAUAAAGUUUUUAAGUUUAUUAGUUUUUGUUUUUGUUUUUGAGUUAUGUUUUGCUUGAGGACAAGCAAAAAGCUAAGUUUGGGGGUAUUUUGAUGAGUCGAUAUUAUACUAUAUAUUUUACCCUAUUCUUAGGUAUAAUUUGUUGGCUAUUUUGGUAGAAAUUUGAUACUUUGAAUUAUAUUUCUAAUGUAGGACAUUCGACUUCCUCUGGAGCAAAAAGUGGCCAAACAGACGAAUUUUUGAGUGAUUCCAAUUGGAGGAUGUUUGUGAGUCUCUCAACUUGCUUGUAUCAACGUUUAGAAUUUUCUAUUGAGCAUAUAAUUCAUGGCGAUGAAAUAAAGGAGCAGUGUGCAAUGUUGUCAAAGUGACGUUUUGGGCUUAUUUGGGCUUUUUGGCAUCCAAGAUGACGUCUUUUGGGUUCGAGACCUUCUACACUUAUGUUCGGGACAUUUCAAGCUUUAUUCAAGUCAUUUUGGGCAUGUUUUGAAGCCCUAAAGAUCCAGAAACGUGGUUGAUUUGUGGCUGGGCAGAUUUUCCAUAUUGAUUAAGAUUAUGUUUCCUAGUUUAUCUUAACUUAUUAUGUUUCCUAGUUUAGAAGACAUUUUCUAGUAAGGAUUUUAAUUGUGUAGUAGUAUAAAUAAGGUUUUUUAGCCUUUAGGAUUUUUGGAGAAGGAGGAGAGAACGCAUUGCUUUAAGAGAGAAGAACGAACACACUAAUUUGGAGAAUUGCUUUUGACAAUUCAAGUUUAUUUUCAAGGUGUUUUCUAUCCAUGUUUUUAAUAAUAUUUUGUUUUAUAAUUGUUAGUAACUAAUUCUCUUUUGCUAAGGCGAGGCCAGGAGGCUUAGCAGGAAUAAGUAGUUUCUUUUCAAUUUACUUAUGAUAUUAUGCAUGGAUGUUUUGAGUUAUUAAUCACCGUGUUUAUACUAUUUAAGUAUUUUAGUGAUUGGCCACUAUUAGGAUCUUUAGAAAAAUAAUUUGAUGCAAUUUUGGCUAUGGGCUGUACCUGGAAUUGACUAAGGCUUCUUGUGGUUAAUAUGUGUAACUUCUUAAGAUGGAUGACACGUUUUAAGGGUUAUAUGGUUUUUUCAAAAGAUUUUCACAAAACUUAUGUUCACAUUUGAUCUUGACACCACGGACAGAUUGCAUGUUAGAUAUAUGUUCUAUAUUGGAGGUUCCAAGUAGGACAUACUUUAGGAAAACCUAACCUUCAAAAUAUGCAUGGGUAAUUCAUAAGUAAUUGGAAGAACUACGUAGGAUUGUUAAGGUGACGGUGGAACUCUAGUGCUUAAAUAGAUUUUCAAAACUAUUUUCUUUUGUUUUCUUUACUUUGCCAAUUUAUUUAAUUGUUUUUAAUAUUUUAGUUCACUAAAUCAACCUUUUUCAAACUUUGUUUCCAAAUAAUUAAUUAAGAUUUGAUUUUAACAUAAAUUAUUCAUUUAAUCCGUGUGGAAAACAAUCUUACUUGAGCAGACUAUACUACAAUUACCUUGUACUCUUGCAAGUAUUUGAAGUGCUUGUAUCCCUAUAUGGCAGGUGGUAAAAAUGUUAUCACUAACAAAAGUCUAAACGUCAUAGGCAAACAAUCAGAUAAAAUUGAAAAUAAUUAAUAGCUAGAGAAAAAUGUCUGGUAAAAUGAAAAAAUAAACUACACUGACGAAAAAAUUGAUAAAAUGUUACGAGAAUUAAAAUGGAACCAAAAGCUAUUUCUGUAGUAAGACACCAAGGAACAGCAUCAGAAACAACCUCAGUAGAUCAGAGUCAGAUAACUGCCAUGACCUCUUGCUUUGGAGAUUUUGUAAUGGUCAUUUUCAUUAAAAUAAUAUAAUACAAAAACAUUGGAGCCGAGCUUUUUCUUCUCUCUUCUUAGUACAUAGCCAAUUCAUUGCUGCUUGCAGGUUCAGAAAAGGAAUUGAGAAUCUGAUCUUAUCAUUGGUAUCAUCCUUCUCGUUUCUAGUUUCCUCUUGUAUGCCCUGCCACACAACCAAUUCCCGUGUUUCCGCCAUGGAUGGUCGCAUCUCCACACUUGAAUCCUCAAUGGAGGCUCUACCCCAAUUUAUUCGGUUGUCGAUUGUUUUGGCGAUGUCCUCUCUUUCCACCUCCAUGGCCACCAAAUUGGCAGUUUGCUUUGAGCAGUUCUGUCGGGAGCUUUCAUUUGGUGGUGGGGGACCUUCUUCCUCAGAUCCGGCUGCUUCGACCUCAGAUCUGGUCACUCCUCCACCGAUCCUCACUGAUGAUACUAAUUUUCACAGCAUUGAAACCCCCGAAUACCCUCCCUUGAGAAUUAUGAUGGUGGUGGACUUACUCCUCGUCCCUAACGACAACAUUGUCUAGAUUUUUCCUGCUUUUCAGAAGGUUGUCACCGUCUCUUAUCACCUUGACAAUAAAGCUAUAUGAUGGCUUCGUUGGCGGGAUUGCCUCCGUGCCACUCCUACUUGAGGCGAGUUUACACGGGCCUUCUACCAAGAAUUUGGACCUUCAUAAUUUGAGGAUAGCAUUGAAGCCUUGUUUAAGCUGUGGCAAAUGAGAAACAUUCUCUCUUCUUCUAAUCUAUUUUCCCUUCCCUUUCCUUCUAUUUGAACGAUAACAGUUAAGUCACGUCAAUAUUUUAAAUUGAUUUUUUUUUAUAGAGAUAAUAAGACAAAAACUAAUGUAUGAGAGGAGAGGAGGGAAGUGAAUGAGAAUAGAAAGGAAGAUAAUCCUACUCCAUGGCAAAUAGAUACACUUAGAGCAUCUCCACCGAAUGGUUGUGGAGGGCGAUAGCAAUUGGAAGGCAAAGGCGAUAAAAUUAUUCUUACUUUUUGCUCUAAACAAUAAUUUUUUUUGUGCAAGUCCAUUAGUGGGAGGAAAAAAAAAGCAAAGACAAAAGCGAUUACUAUUCACAAAUAUAUUUUUUAAUAUUUUAAUAUUUUCUUUGUCAUAUCCCCACAUAUCAUUGUUGCUGUAGAUUUUUGAGUCGUUUUAAACUUUUAAUUUGCCAUAGAUUUUUGAGUAGUUUUAAACGUUUAAUUUGCAAGUUUUUUAAUUUUUAAAAUUUUUAUGAUUUUUUUUAAUAUUUAGAGUUGGAUUAAUCAUAGUCAUUGAAUUGAAAUUCUUGUUGAAAUCAAAGGCUCACAAAGAGUCACGUGGGGGAAGUGGGAGAGCUGGUGAACAGCUCAUGGGUUGCAACAAAUAUGGGCUUCACAUGGCCCCUUGUUUGUUGGGCUUAAUGUAGGGCACAAGCCCUUACAAUUGUUGAAGGGACAGCUGCCUUCAACCCAAUUGCAUUCUAUUCUGUGGACUGUUGGCAAACUUUUUUAGGGGUGAAGGGUCAACUCAACUCAAUUGUCCUCGCAAUUGAGUGACUGGUGGAGAUGCUCUUAAAAAAGUAUAUAUUGGAAUUUCAUAAACUUUCUAAUAGAUCUACUGAUGUUGGCCCAAUUUUGUUGAAGAGUUGCUUCUUGAGAAGGUUGAAACGUGAAUUAAAAUAUGAUGUAAAAUUGUUCAGACCUUUUUCUGUUAAUGAUGCUUUUGCUAUUGGUGUACAAAUCGAUGCUAAGCUUAAUGAUCUUAAACCUAUUGCAUCUGGUUCAGUAUCAGUACCUAAGUCUCAACCACUUAUAUUGCUCUAUUUGCGUGUUUCAAAGCCUAAACAUAUUGCUUACCUUCGAAGAAACUAACCCCUGAAGAGAUGCAACGCAAGAAAUAUAGGGGAGAAAUGGGCCAGAGGUCACAAAUGUCCCCACAUAAUUGCUAAUGUUAGAUGUGAUAGGCAUGGACAGUGUAGAAGAGGUGAUUGAAGGGGAUGAAAUGCCACCGGAAUUGAGUGAAUGUGCCUUCUAUGGUACUCUUGCUAAAUAGACUCUGCAAACUAUGAAGGUUUAUGGGUUUGUUAAGAAUCAACAUGUGAGAAUUUUGCUCGAUUUCGGUAGCACUCAUAAUUUUGUGGAUUCUAGACUAGUGAAGAAGUUGUGUUUUGUCUCUAGGGUUAUGAUAUAGUCUUGGGAGUUCAAUGGUUAUCCACUGUCAGUCCUAUCUUAUGGGAUUUUUAAUUACGGACCAUGGAGUUUACUAAGGGUUCUCGAACAUACAAACUAAUUCAUAGUGCCAUCAAAACACCACCAUUGGUACAAGAGAUGACACUCCAACAGCUUGACAAGGAGUUCUAUGAUUCAAACUUAGGCAUGCUUUUGUAUUCUAUGCACUCAGGGAAACUUGAAGCUUCUGAUCUCACUACUCAACAGCUUGGAGAAUGGCAGGAAGUCUUGGGGGAAUUUGAAGAAAUAUUUGUAAUUCUAUCUGAACUUCCACCUCCUAGAGAACAUGACCACAAGAUUUCACUGAUGCCUGGAGCUAAGCCACCUAUAUCAAACCCUACCACUAUAGAUGAGUUGCGCCUUGAAUGGGAAAGAAGUAUUAUGCAGACCAAGUAACGCUAAGAAAAGCACUUUACUUCGGAUCCCCCUAAUCUUGCUCGGGAUCCGCCCCCUCGGAGUACUCCAAAUCUUAAGCUGAGUGUUGAAUUUUAAACUCGUUUUUCUUUGCUUGUCAAAUCAAAAUGCUAUCUUCUCUUAUGAUCGUUCAAUGUUUGAAAUCACCAACCAGUAGGGAAAUAUUUGCCAUCCACCGGAUUAGGUUCACUACUUUCUCUCUUUACGACUAAUGUAUUAUUAUAAUACAAAUUUAUGAUUGUUGUUGAAAAUAGAUCUCACAUUUUGAUGGAAAGAAAUUUUACAUUUACUUAUAAGUAAGUUAGGCUAUUUUUCAUAUCGUCAAUUGGUUUGAUGGUGAAAUUUCAACUUUUUUUAUGGUAUCAGAACAUAUUGUCCAACGUGUGAAGCCCAACAUCCACACGUGUUCUACAUCACCUAAUUUUUGUUCUCGUAUUAGGCUUGAAAAUUCGCCACACGUGAGGGGGUAUGUUGAGAAUGUAUCCCAUAUUGAUAGGAAGAGGGAUCUUGCACGGACUUAUGAAUAAUUAGGCUACUCCCCAUAUUAUCAAUUAGUUUUAUGGUAAAGCCUCAGCUUUUUUUAAUAACAAUUGUUUAUCUUCUUGACCAUUAUUUCAAGAUCAUCUUUACAAAAAUUUAAUCAUAUUCGAGAUGAUUAUUUAUUUAUAUGCCUCAAACAAGUAGAGAGCCCUCGUACCAAGCAACAUUUCAUGAUAAAUUGUCCACAUUUUUUGCUACAUACUAGAAAGUUUUGCCCGCACGUUGCUGCGUGAUUAGAAAUUGUGUGAAAAAUUAUGUUUCAAAUGUAUAAACACAUGAACUUAUAUCACAUCUAAUUAAAUUAUUGCAACAACAUAUUAACGUACUUAAUAUGGAAAUUCAUAAACUAUUUGACAAUAUGAAAUCGAGCAAUUUCUAAACAUGAGAAAUGGAUAUUAGAAAGUAUAAAUUCUACCCCAUAAAUAUUAACACAAUUAACAAAUUCUCAGUACAUGAUCACAAAAAGGUAUAAAAAAGUAAUUCAAUUUCUAAAUUUCAAAAAUGGUAAAGAUAAAAAAAGGGUCCAAGUUCUCAAUUCUCAUCAUAACGAAAAUUAUGAUAUCAUUUUAACAUGAACUUGGGUUGAUUUCGGUUACCACCAUUUAGAAAGCUAGUGACUUCAACAUGUGCAAGCAAACGACUGAAUUAGACGCAAGCUAACUUCUUCCCAAUCAAUCACGAUCAAACUAACCUAUCUUCUUCCCAAUGUAGAAGAUGUCCUUUGUUUUGCCUUUGUGAACAGUGCACUUUUCACUCUCUACACUAGAUCUGGCAGUUUCUGACACGACAUGAAAAUAACGGGUUUCAUGUUAACACGAUAACUAAUCGGGUCAUUAUCGGGUGACCCGUUAAUAACGGGUUCCUAACAGGUAUACACGUGGGUAACCUGUUUCGACCCGUUAAGAAAAAAAUUAUUUUAUAAUUUUAAAGUUUAAUUACUAAAAGAUUUAUUAUAAAAUACAAUAGCCAUAUUAAUAUAUAUAAUAUAUUCUAUAUUAAAUAUAUAGUUUUGUAUUAUUAUUCUAUAUAAGUUUAAAAAAAAGUUUUAGUCAAUAUUUAUUUUUAUUAUGAGAGUUCCUCAUCAUCAUUACUAUGAUAAAUUUUACUUAACAUAUUGUCCAAAAUUAAAGUCAACUAGUAUAGUAUUUGUAUAGGUAAGAACUAAGAAGACAUACAUACAAGUAUGAAAAAUGUGAAAUAAUAUAUAAACACUCAUGAUUCAUCAUUAUACCUGCAUGAGUAGAUAAUGAUUUCACCUACAUUAUCGUUUAGAUUUUUAAAAUCCUCCAAACCCUCAUGAAUAAUGUUUUUUAUUUGAGGGCAAAAUUAAUAACAAUUAUUGUAGAGGUGCAAAAAAUAAAAUAAAAUAAUAUACAAUCACUCAUAGUAACAAGUUUUACAACUUUCAUGAAAAGGUCAGCUUCGAAAUCCAACACUAUAAUCUAUAAACCUUAAAUUUAUAUUUAACCAUUGAUUGUCAUUUACACUUUAUUCUGCUUACUAAAUUUCAUUUUUUUUAAUUUUCUUUUUUAAAAAUAUGAUCAUCUGGCGGAUGUAAGAAGAUGAAUGGUUCAGAUCUUUGAUAUCACGUUUCGAUAUUUACGAUUAACUAAAAUAUGAGUCGAUGUCAUAUAAUUUGUAGAAACUUUAUAAACAUCAAGCAAUAUUUUCACUAACUGUAAAACUCUGAAUAUAAUAUCAACGAUCCAAACCGUUUAUCUUCCUGAAUCCUCUAAUAGGUCAUGUUUUCAAUAAAGAAAAUCUGGAAAAAAAAAAACAAAAUUUGAUGAGAACAAUGAAGCUUAAAUGUAAACAACAAUCAACGCACUACUACAAAAUUCACUAUAACUGGCGGUUCAAAAACCGACAAAAAACGUAUCUUAUUGUCGGAUUUUAAGUAAAAUCCGACAGAAAAUGGAUGCAGUGACGGAUAUAAUAAGCGACAGAAUUGCCUGCGUCAGGAAAUGAAUUUUCCGACAGAAAAUACUCUAAAACUGACAGAAAUUUUGUCGGUUAUAUUCGACAGAAAUACUGUCGGUUAUAACCGACAGUAUAUAUAUAUUUAUUAGAAUUUAUGUCGGAUAAAACCGACAGAAAAUAGUAAAACUAACAGAAAUACUGUCGGUUAUAUCCGACAGAAGUUAUUAUAAAAAUAAAUAAAAUUAUUCUUGUCGGCUAAAACCGACAGAAAAUAUAUUAAUAAUAAUAAAAACAAAUUUCUGCAUUCACCAUCCGAAACCUCGCCGGAGCUCCAUCUCGAAAACCUCAGGACCCUUAAAGUCCUAGGCAAGGGAGCAAUGGGUGGAGGUUCAGGAACUGAACCCAAAUCAAUGAAAUUUUUCUUGCUUUUGUAUCACAAUAUUCUCUCUGUUUCCUACCAAACCAUUUUUCUGGACAGCAGCCAAGUUCUCCAUCGAAAUAGCCAAGUUCUCAAACCCGGUCCUUACUCCCUCCCCAUUCAGUAUCUUCAGCAACCUGUUUAGACAUUUAUCCAGAUCGAGAAGUUGCUUGGCGUAUUUAUACUUUUUGAAGCCUUUCCACGGGCUAAGCUUGGAGCACUUGAGAACCAGCUCUUCCCUAUUCACUAUUUGUCUCACAAUCUUUUCCACUUCCUUGUUUGAUUGAUCCUGUUUGUGGCAGGAAUUUCCGUCGGGAAUGUUUCCUGGCCGACGAGCACACAGCUCCCCUGGAGGUUGGCGCCGGUUGAGGGCUGCUGUCGGGCUUCUGCUUCACUGUCGGGCUUUAUCGGGCAAGUCUCGUCGGGCAAGACUCUUCGGGCAAGACUCUUCGGGCAAGGCUGAAAGAGAAGGACAACGUUAACUUUGAGAGGUGCCUUUGUGGGGCCUUAGGUGUAGGCCUUGAGGCUCACAAUCAAGGUUAACAUUUAGGUGCUUAGGCGUGCCACUGCCAUCUUUAGCAUGGCAGAUGUAAAAUAGCAGUCGUGCUUUAGUUGUAUGUAUGUAUGUAUCCAAGAAACCGUGUUAGUUAUAACAAGUGCCUUUGUGGGGCCUUAGGUGUAGGCCUUGAGGCUUCUCAUAAAUAACUAAACCAGUGCUCGAACGCAUCAUAUUCAUUCUCGUGAUUGUAGGAGUUUUCUAACUAUUAUACUUCUGAUUACCCGAAUCCAAGAAGUAGGAUGAACCCAAAUAAGUGCCUUUGUGGGGCCUUAGGUGUAGGCCUUGAGGCUUCCCAUCAGAGUUCAUUCUUAUAAUUGGACUCUUUAGGUCGCUGAACGGAAUGAAUCCAAAUGGAUGCCUUUGUGGGGCCUUAGGUGUAGGCCUUGAGGCUUUCCAUUAGAAUCCAUCCAUGCUCAAGCAUUCUAUGAUAAUCAUGGCAUAAUAGAAAGAAAACUAGAAGGUAGGUUGAUUACUUGCGCCCCAAGUAACUUCGGACUUCUCGUUUAUCAAGGACUGUCGUGGAUGGGUUAAGUCCACAUAAGGUUCUUUUUUAUGCCUUGAGGCCAAGGACUUUUAACUGAUUAGAUUUACAUGCCCGAGGGCUUAGGACUUAGAUCUGGUUUGAACACUGACGAUAUAUUCAAAUCGGAUUCAAGUACUGAGAAAGCCUCUUAAUAAUCAUGUUGCUAGAAAUAACUUGCAUAUAACUGGAAGUAUACAACAUAUUGAAAAGACAAAACUAAAGCAAAGAAGGUCGGGCAAGGUUAAACCUUAUCGGGUAAGGUUGCUCGUCUUGCAGGUCCAUAUCUUUGUAGUUUUGUCAAAGGUCUGAAAGCUUAGAGGGGUAGAGAGAGAGACAUUACAAAAGAUGAAUCGAUACUACAGCAAGGUUGAACAAGGUAGCAGAGUUAUUACAAAGGUUGAAGAGAGGGUUAUCCCGAAAGGGAUGGAGGUUUAUCUCGAAAGGGAUGAAGGCUGACUACAGCUUUGUUUUGAAGGCAAAUCUGGCUUUGAGCAGAGUUUGUGCUUGCAUUUGUUUGUUUGAUUGAGUGUCCUUAAUCCUUGAUUUUCUUUCUUCUUAUAUAGACAACUUGGCUUGGCCUUUGGUAGCAGCAGCUUUGCCCGAAUGCGGUUUGAGGGUGAUGACUCAUCAGCUAUUUUACAUGUAAUGCCACCAUAAAGUACUUUAUGGGCUGUGUAGCUGACCAGCCUACACCACUUAGCCUUUGGGUAGGUAAGCAAGUGGUCUUCAUGAGCUGCAUCAAGUCAGAAAAGGCCUUCUCCUACCUUCUGGGCUUCGACUGGGCUUCGGCUAUCUUCCCUUUCGGGCUUCCUUUUGGGCCAACUCCUUUCUUGAGCCCAAAGUUCAAGUUUGGAUCCAAACAGUGCCCCCUUCAAUCAAUGUUAAGAUUGGAAUCCCAAGCGCCAACAUUAAUUGAAUACCCGCAUGCGUGUAUCUCAAUCUUUUGGAACUUCGUGUUCCUUCGACAGGAUGAAGGCAACCCCAUGUCCCUUGAGCUUCUCACGACCUUUGAACUACCCUCUGGUUUUCUAUAAAUUCUGGCUCAGAAACUCUUCUAUUAAGCCAUCAAAUCCUCUUCAUUCUUUUCUUCCAUCUUCCUCGAGUAUUUUGAGAAAUGGGUUCUUUAAACUUUGAGUGGGGUUUCCUAAAACUUCCUUUCCGUGAGAAAAAAGGCUUUCAUCAAAGAAAUGCUAUCUCCAACACCCUUGGUCGAACGCCCCGCUAUCUCAAACACCCUUGGUCAGGCGGUUUCCUCUUGACGGUUUGUCUCCCUGCUUGCUGCGGUGAUAAAUCGGGCUUGACCAUUACAUAUGUUGAUGGUCCUGUCUGAGGAACCUCUACCAGGCUCAUGUUGGCCGCACAACCCGAUCACCUGAUUUGGUUCCAUCCAUGAAGUUAUUGGAAGACCAACUGAAGAUACCAUUGCAUCCAGGAAGAGAAUUGAUUGUAAUACGUUGGCCUUGAAUCUUUUGUAAAUUUCAUCAAUUUGUCGAAAUGAAAUAUACAUUAUCUCAGCAACUCUUGUCUUUCCAUCUUGAAUGUUUGAUAAAUACGCAUUGCAUAAUGAUAUCCCGAAGCUCGCUUUACUUCGCAUCCUCUUCGAUAUAACAAUCUCUGACAUCGCAUCCUCUUGGAUGUUUAUGCUUGUUUCCUUCAAGGUCCGCCAGGUAGUAUCCCCCUCUAUCUAGAACACGACCAAUAAUGAAAGGACCUUCCCAUGUCGGGCUCCAUUUUCCAAAACCCCUGAGCUGAGCUCUUAGAGGGAGGAUUGUCUUCCAUACUAAAUCCCCUUCCUUGAAAGAUUUCAUCUUCACCUUCUUGUUGUAAGCUCGAGCAACAGCUCGUUUCCCUUCUUGAAUCUGGUUCAAGGCUUCAAUUCGGGCGGUAUCCAAGUCUUCAAUUCCUUGACACAUGGCUUCGACAUACUCUUCGCUAUGCAAUCUAAAUUGAUUUUGAAUUCUGAAAGAACUCACAUUGAUUUCCACGGGGAGCACUGCAUCCUGCCCGAAAGUUAAAGCAUAAGGAGUUGUCCCUGUUCCUGCUCUCUUAGAAGUUCUGUAUGCCCACAAAGUGUUUCCCAGAUUCUCAUGCCAUCUUUCUGGACUAUCCAUCACCAUCCUUUUGAUAAUGUUGACCAGGAUCUUGUUGCUAGCUUCUGCCUGAUCAUUUGAUUGAGGAUAGUACGGACUGGAUUGGAUCAUCUUUAUUUUGUACUUGCCUGCAAAUUCCUCAACUUCUUUUGAAAUAAAAGAUGGCCCACGAUCCGUUACUAUGGUCUCGGGCACUCCAUAUCUGUGCAGGAUUUUGGUCUCGAUAAAAUUCUUGACUGUGGCUGAAUUUAUGGAUUUUACUGCUGAUGCUUCCACCCACUUGGUAAAGUAAUCCGUUGCCACAAUUAUGAAGGUAUGCCCUUUACUAGAAGCUGGAUAGAUUUGCCCGAUAAAGUCCAUUGCCCAUCCUCUGAAAGGCCAAUGCUUGACCACUGGAUUUAAAGGUACUGAGGGCACAUGCUGGAGAGGUCCGUGCCUUUGACAUUCUUCACAUCCUCGGGCAUAAGACUUACAAUCUUUUUCCAUGUCGGGCCAGAAAUAACCAUACCUCCUAAGCAACCAUCUCAUCUUUGUUCCAGCCUGAUGUGCUCCACAAACUCCUUCAUGUACUUCGGCCAUUACCCUCAUGGAUUCUUCUUGGCCCAAGCAUUUCAAUAGUAACCCGUCUGGAGUUUUCCUUAGUAAGUUAUUUGCCUAUAAGACAUACUUAGUUGCUUGCUGUCUAUCCUUCUUGCUGGUAGGCGAGGAAGGAUCCUUCAAAUGGUGAAUAAUAGGUGACCUCCAAUCUUCUAUCUCGGCCUCUAGCACCAUUAUAUCUAGACUGAAUCCCCUUUCUAAGAUGGAAGGGAGGUUUCUUCUUUGGAUUUCAACAUCUACCCCAUGUUUCCUUUCCUGUAUUGGCACUCCUGCGGCUAGUUGUGCCAUCUCGUUGGCCGCUAAAUUGGAUUCCCUGGGAACAUGAUUGACCGAUAUCUCAGAAUCCCAAAAAUUCAAUAAUUGCGUAGCUGCCAAGUAAUACCCCGCCAUGGUAAUAUGUCUGCACUUAAACUCCCCAUUUAACUGGUUUAUUACCAACUCUGAAUCUCCAAAGACCUCUACCUCUUCUGCCCCUAGAUCCAUCAAGAUUUCCAGACCAAUAAUUAAGGCCUCAUACUCUGCUCGAUUAUUAGUAUUCCCCUGGUAAUCCAAGAGAAAUGAAUAAUAAUGAUAAACUCCCUGAGGGUUUAUAAUUACAAUUCCUGCUCCUGAAGCCUUCUGAGUGUGGGAUCCAUCGAAAUACAACUUCCAAGGAGUGAUCCAGAGACCAGCCACUCUUCUUAUCUCUUACUGGAUCCAGUCUUCUUUGCCCGAAAUAUCUUUUCUCGGCGGGAUCCAAAUGCUAGUAACUUCUAAGCUUCCAGGGAUAUUGAUCACCUCACUUGAAGAUUCUUGAUGCUCGGUCAGGAAGUAGGCAAUUGCUUGACCUUUGACUGCCCUUUGGGGUACGUAUUGAAAACUGAAUUCUGAUAAAGCUAGAAUCCAUUUCCCAAUCCUUCCUGUGAGCAUUGGCUUUGACAACAUGUACUUUAUCACAUCUGUCUUGGCGAUGAUGUGCACGUGACAAGGUAACAUGUAAUGCCUUAAUUUACUGGCAGUGAAAUAUAAAGCCAAGCAUAAUCUCUCUACCGGGGAAUACCUUGUUUCUACCUCGGUCAGAAUUCUACUGAGGUAGUACACUGCCUGCUCCUUCCCGCCUUCAUUAUUAUGGGCUAGCAAGCUUCCGAUUGAUUUUUCAGAGGCAGAGAUAUACAGCUUCAAGGGUUUUCCCCUUUGUGGUGGCACCAACACUGGUGGAGAAGUUAAAUAGGCCUUGAUGCUGUCAAAGGCCUGUUGGUGCGGUGGCUCCCAUUCAAACUUUUCUUUAUCUUUCAACUUUAGCAAAGGAGUCAGUGGUUGGAUCUUGCCUGCUAAAUUAGCAAUGAAUCUCCUUAAAAAGUUGAUUUUGCCUAGUAACCUCUGGAGUUGCACCUUGUUGGUAGGUGAAGGUGACUCCAUUAUUGCCCGAGAUUUGUUCUUAUCCACUUCUACACCUCUUUGAUGCACCAGGAAUCCCAAGAAGUUGCCUGCUCUUACUCCAAAUGCACACUUCUUUGGAUUCAUCUUCAAUUUGUGGAUCCUCAUCCUUGCUAAUGUCUGUCUGAGAUCUUCCAGAUGCUGUUCUUCUGUUUUGGACUUGACCACUAUGUCAUCAAUGUAUACCUCCAUGCUCUGGCCAAUUAGAUCAUGAAAGAUGGCAUUCAUUGCCCUCUGGUAAGUUGCACCAGCGUUUUUGAGCCCGAAUGGCAUGACCAGAUAUUCAUAUGCCCCCACAUGACCGGGACACCUAAAAGCUGUUUUAUGUAUAUCUUCUGGAGCCAUCUUUAUCUGAUUGUAACCGGCAUUCCCAUCCAUAAAAGAUAGGACUUUAUGUUUUGCCACUGCAUCUAUGGAUAAGUCGGCCAUGGGCAUGGGAUACUCAUCCUUUGGUGUAGCGCCAUUAAUAUUUUUGUAAUCCACACAACAUCAUACCGCUUUUUUUACAGCUUUUAAAAUGGGUACGAUGUUGGCCAACCACUCCACAUAUUUGGCUGGUCUGAUAAAGCCAGCUUUCACUAGCCUUUCAAUCUCUUCUUUGACCUUUUCUUCUAUCUCCUUUGACAUCCUCCGUGGUGCUUGCUUGACAGGCUUAUAUCCUUCCUUGAUGGGCAUUCUAUGUUCCACCAAGGUUGGAUCUAACCCUGGCAUCUCGGUAUAAUGUCAAGCAAAGCAAUCUUUGAAUUCUUGCAAAAGACAAACAAUCCUUGCCCGAUCAUCAACCCCCAAUAAACCACUGAUUUGUAUUGGCCUUAGGUCCUUCUCUGUUCCUAAAUUAAUGACUUCCAGAGGAUCCUGGACUUCUGAUGGUGGCUUAUCUGGUUCUGUACACAAAAAUUCGACCAGCUCCGGGCUCUCGGGCAAGUCGUCUGGCCCAUCCAGAUCAUAUAUGCACUCGGCCAUUCGAAUGGCCCCAUCCAGUUCUUCACUGCAAGAUUCCUCCUUGCUUUCAUGCUGGCUGGUUGAAGUUUCCUCCUGCCAUUCACGCUCUUCUCUGUCCAAGAGCUCCCUUUCUUGUCUUCUUCCCUUCCCGUACAUCAGCAGUCUUUUAAUCAGGGAUCUAACUGCCAUUACCUGAUCUCUAUUCUUUUGUCCACUCAUUGAUGGUGUAGGGGAUUUGGGAGGAUACAAGGUCUAUCCCACUCCUCUCUAGUAAGGAGCAUUCCUUGUUCUAAAAGCUUUUGGGCUGUCACCUUGGUAGGGCGGCCGUUCUCGUCAGCUCCUGAACACUUCAAGAUUCCUACAUUGGGGUUGUAGAAACUUGCUUCUACAAUAUUGGCUGUGGGGAGAAAUGGCCGUGAUUCGGCCUCUACCAUCUCCCAAAAGCCUGGUCCUUCUACGCCCGCCUCAUGAUAGACAGCCACUUGUUGAUGAAGAGUGGAGGGUAUAGCCAAACCUUGGUGGAUCCAAUCUCUUCCGACUAAGGCCCCAUAAGUGGAGGUGCAGUCCACCACAAAGAACGCCAGCAUUAUCUUUUUAGAUCCCAGAUCCACCUCUAGAGGCAAUAUUCCAUGAGUCUUAGUGAUAGCGUCUGAGAAGCUAGAGACUGUGAGGUCUGUGGGAAUAAGAUCCUCCGUACCUCUUCCCAUUUUCUUCAUCUGCUUGGCUGGUAACACAUUAACAGCUGCUCCUCCAUCAAUUAGAAUUCUUUUGACGGGCACACCUUCCAAGUGGGCUGUAACGUAUAUAGGUUUCAGAUGAUUGGCCAACGAGCUGUUCGGGCGGCUAAACACCAUCUCGUUCGUGUAAAUCCUUAGAGGACCACCUUUGGAUGCUUUUGAGGAUUCAGCCUUGCCUGAGCUUUCUUCUUCAACCACCUCUAUAUUGACAUGUGCCAUCAUUGGCUCAGUUGUCAAGUAAUCACCCUCCAUAGUAGCGGGUUGAUCAGGUCUGGCACCAAACGUGGCGGACAACACAUAUGUCAUGUUGAUAUGGAAAUUAUUAGGCUCGGGCGGACCUUCUUUAUUGUCCCCAAUCUGGUCCAUAAAUUCAUCCAACCAAGUCAUCGCAUCAGCUAGAAGUAAUGGUUCUGGUGCCCCCUCCUGUUGCUGUUGAUUCAUGCCCGCAUACAGUGUUUGUUUUGGGACUUCACCAAAAUGAUCCACCAAUGACAGAGAAGGUGGUCUCCUUUCAAAUGAAAUAUUUUCAGCAUGGUUAGGACCUGGCUUCCACCCAGGAGUUGGCAUCAUGAUUAGAUCUUCUUGAGGUCUCCUCAAGAUCCCGUACUUCCCGGGGUGUUGGCUCUGCGGCACGUGAUUCCCCUUGCCUUCUGUCUUGCUGUCGGCUUUUUCCACCUCUUUCUUGCUUCUCCAACGGAGCUGACCACUUCUUCAAGAUGCUGUUUUCUCCAGCUUUUGAUUUUUGGAGGCUUCAGAUGUUGUGGGGGUCUUUAAGGAAUUCAUGUAGGCUUUGUGCUGCCUUUGAACCCUCCUGAUCAUAGAGACUCCCAUUGGUUUAGCAGGCUGUCUGUUCUUCCCGACUACAUACCAUUUUCGCCCGAGGUGGGCAGGAUUUCCUUUUCUACUAGGAUUGAUCAUGCUAUCAAUCUUCUUGAUUUCCCUCCCCAUCUGGCCACAUUGAGGAUGAUCUACACUCCGUCGUAUUUUGGCUUCCAUGUCUUCCGCUUCAUCAGAAACCUCAUGGUUUCGAAAUACCUCUGACAAAGCUUUAGGUUGGGAAUCACCUCCUAGUCGUUGAAAGACGCUUCGGGAAGUGUCUUUUUUCGUUGCCUGCUUAAUCUUUUCGCGGGCUUCUCUUCUGACAUCUUCUUCCUUUCUCCUGAUUAAUUCAUGGUCAAUGAGUACUCCGGCCGGGGGAAUUUCAAGCUCACACUCGCACUGGCACUUACUGCACAUGACCAUCCCCUUGAUUAUGGCUGCUUUUGGAUAUUCGGGUGUUUUAAUCACCCCUCCUGUAGGUUUUUCAGCCAAUCUCUUCUCUUCUGGUUCCUUUGUAAUUCUUUCUUUUCCUUUCUCAGCCCAUGUCAUAUUGAUCAUAUUUACAGGGACUUCUGAAAAGGGAACUGCAGGUUUGUCUACCACCAGCUUUUCAGGCGGGCUGGUUUUAAGUCUCUUUCCCUCGGGAGGGACCAGGUCUGUUUCUUCUCUGAAGCCUGUGGAAGCUUUCUCCAACCUUUUCAACAUUUGUAGUAACAUAGUUUGUAAACCUUCUGGCAUCUUGACAUAUAUCUUCUGAUCAGGGGAGUCCCACCGAGCGUGCCAAAACUAUGUUCGUGGCAGGAAUUUCCGUCGGGGAUGUUUCCUGGCCGACGAGCACACAGCUCCCCUGGAGGUUGGCGCCGGUUGAGGGCUGCUGUCGGGCUUCUGCUUCACUGUCGGGCGUUGUCGGGCAAGUCUCGUCGGGCAAGACUCUUCGAGCAAGGCUGAAAGAGAAGGACAGCGUUAACUUUAAGAGGUGUCUUUAUGGGGCCUUAGGUGUAGGCCUUGAGGCUCACAAUCAAGGUUAACAUUUAGGUGCUUAGGCGUGCCACUGCCAUCUUUAGCAUGGCAGAUGUAAAAUAGCAGUCGCUUUAGUUGUAUGUAUGUAUGUAUCCAAGAAACCGUGUUAGUUAUAACAAGUGCCUUUGUGGGGCCUUAGGUGUAGGCCUUGAGGCUUCUCAUAAAUAACUAAACCAGUGCUCGAACGCAUCAUAUUCAUUCUCGUGAUUGUAGGAGUUUUCUAACUAUUAUACUUCUGAUUACCUGAAUCCAAGAAGUAGGAUGAACCCAAAUAGGUGCCUUUGUGGGGCCUUAGAUGUAGGCCUUGAGGCUUCCCAUCAGAGUUCAUUCUUAUAAUUGGACUCUUUAGGUCGCUGAACGGAAUGAAUCCAAAUGGAUGCCUUUGUGGGGCCUUAGGUGUAGGCCUUGAGGCAUUCCAUUAGAAUCCAUCCAUGCUCAAGCGUUCUAUGAUAAUCAUGGCAUAAUAGAAAGCAAACUAGAAAGUAGGUUGAUUACUUACGCCCCAAGUAACUUCGGACUUCUUGUUUAUCAAGGACUGUCAUGGAUGGGUUAAAUCCACAUAAGGUUCUUUUUUAUGCCUUGAGGCCAAGGACUUUUAACUGAUCAGAUUUACAUGCCCGAGAGCUUAGGACUUAGAUCUGGUUUGAACACUGACGAUAUAUUCAAAUCGGAUUCAAGUACUGAGAAAGCCUCUUAAUAAUCAUGUUGCUAGAAAUAACUUGCAUAUAACUGGAAGUAUACAACAUAUUGAAAAGACAAAACUAAAGCAAAGAAGGUCGGGCAAGGUUAAACCUUAUCGGGUAAGGUUGCUCGUCUUGCAGGUCCCUAUCUUUGUAGUUUUAUCAAAGGUCUGAAAGCUUAGAGGGGUAGAGAGAGAGAUUACAAAAGAUGAAUCGAUACUACAGCAAGGUUGAACAAGGUAGCAGAGUUAUUACAAAAGGUUGAAGAGAGGGUUAUCCCGAAAGGGAUGGAGGUUUAUCCCGAAAGGGAUGAAUGCUGACUACAGCUUUGUUUUGAAGGAAAAUCUGGCUUUGAGCAGAGUUUGUGCUUGCAUUUGUUUGUUUGAUUGAGUGUCCUUAAUCCUUAAUUUUCUUUCUUCUUAUAUAGACAACUUGGCUUGGCCUUUAGUAGCAGCAGCUUUGCCCGAAUGCGGUUUGAGUGUGAUGACUCAUCAGCUAUUUUACAUGUAAUGCCACCAUAAAGUACUUUAUGGGCUGUGUAGCUGACCAGCCUACACUACUUGGCCUUUGGGUAGGUAAGCAAGUGGUCUUCAUGAGCUGCAUCAAGUCAGAAAAGGCCUUCUCCUGCCUUCUGGGCUUUGACUGGGCUUCGGCUAUCUUCCCUUUCUGGCCUCCUUUUGGGCCAACUCCUUUCUUGAGCCCAAAGUUCAAGUUUUGAUCCAAACAGAUCCAGCACCUCUUUGUAUCUCUCUAUAUCUUUGAUCAACGAAUUCAACGUUUCUAGCGUGGAAUCGAGACCUCCGAGCGGAGCUCUCUAAACAUCAUAGUCUUGUCUUUGACAUCCUUAACAACCUCAUACAGCACAGUAAGCAAUGAUCCUACAACAGAACCUGCAAAAAGCUCCCCAUAUGAGUUGAAUGUAAAUCCUAGACAUGUCAAAUCCCAUAUAAAUUGUAAAUAAAGCUCAAAAUUGAUUUAUAUGACAAAAUAAGUUCUAAAAAGAAUCUACAACGUCAGAGUACCCAAUCCAACUGUAAGAAUAGAGGUUCAUGUAUUGCAGUACCUUCCAUUUCACUUUGCUUCCGUACCACGCCACUCCGUUCAAUUUUCUCAGCAACCGGUUUUUUAUUCCUGACAUGAGGAGAGGAGAGAAGAGAAGAAGGAAAUGAGGAGUGGGGAAAAUGGGGAAGGGAGAAGUACCGGCACAAGGAAGAUAUGGAGGGGUUAUAAUGUGGAAAUGUUCAUUACUGUCGGUUAAAAUCGACAGAAAUGUUUUUAAAAUAAUAAAAACCGACAUAAACUUCUCAUUAAUGUCGGCUAUAACCGACAGAAAAAAAGGCGGCAAAAAACCCCCCAAAAUUCCCUCUGAAAAUUUUAAACUUCUCCCCAAAUUUUAAAAUUCCCCCAAAAUUCCCUCUGAAAAUUUUAAACUUCCCCCCAAAUUUUAAAAUUCCCCACCCCCGUAAAAAAAAUUUGUUACGAUUUAAUAAAUAAAUAAAUAAUAUGUAUUUAAAUAGAAUAUGUUUUUAAAAAUUAAAUAAAUAAUUGUUUGGUUUAAUAGAUAAUUUUUACAGCUACACUUCUCGACCCUAUAAGAAUGUAAUGAAUAAAUUCGAUCUUUAAUUUAAAAUAUUUACACUAGUGGAUACCACAAAAUCUUAUUUUAUACUUAAUAGAAGUGUAAUAUUAACUCUAAGUGUUUGUUUAAUCUACCGUUUUGACGCAAUAUGCAUGCUACGAAACUUUUUUCAACAAUUCAACCGUCAAACUUAUUUGUACACAUCUGAGAUUGCAUAUGUAAGAAAUCGUAAAAAACAAACAUUCAGAGAUUACGUAACAGAACAAAAGUUUUCGACAGUUAUAAACAAAAAAUCACAAUUUAACGGUUAUUUUAGCUCCGAUUUUGAUGAUUUUUUACAGCUACACUCCUCGACCCUAUAAGAAUGUAAUGAAUAAAUUCGAUCUUUAAUUUAAAAUAUUUACGCUAGUGGAUACCACAAAAUCUUAUUUUAUACUUACUAGAUGUAUAAUAUUAACUCUAAGUGUUUGUUUAAUCUACCGUUUUGACGCAAUAUGCAUUCUACGAAACGUUUUUCAACGAUCCAACCAUCAAACUUAUUUGUACACAGUCCGAGAUUGCAUACGUAAGAAAUCGUAAAAAACAAACAUUCAUAGAUUACGUAACGAAACAAAAGAUUUCGACGGUUAUAAACGAAAAAUCACAAUUUAACGGUUAUUUUAACUCCGAUUUUGAUGAUGUUUUACAGCUACACUCCUCGACCCUAUAAGAAUGUAAUGAAUAAAUUCGAUCUUUAACAAAAUCUUAUUUUAUACUUAAUAGAAGUGUAAUAUUAACUCUAAGUGUUUGUUUAAUCUACCGUUUUGACGCGAUAUGCAUUCUACGAAACUUUUUUCAAUUAUUCAACCGUCAAACUUAUUUGUACACACUUUGAGAUUGCAUACGUAAAAAACAAACAUUCAGAGAUUAUAACAGAAAAAUCACAAUUUAACUGUUAUUUUAGCCCCGAUUUUGAUGAUUUUUUACAGCUACACUCCUCAACCCUAUAAGAAUGUAAUGAAUAAAUUUGAUCUUCAAUUUAAAAUAUUUACACUAGUGGAUACCACAAAAUCUUAUUUAUACUUAAUAGAAGUAUAAUAUUAACUCUAAGUGUUUGUUUAAUCUACAGUUUUGAUGCAAUAUGCAUUCUAUGAAACUUUUUUCAACGAUCCAACCAUCAAACUUAUUUUUACACACUCCGAGAUUGUAUACGUAAAAAAUCGUAAAAAACAAACAUUCAUAGAUUAUGUAACGGAACAAAAGUUUUCGACAGUUAUAAACGAAAAAUCACAAUUUAACGGUUAUUUUAGCUUCGAUUUUGAUGAUUUUUUACAACUACACUCCUCGAUCUUCAAUUUAAAAUAUUUGCACUAGUGGAUAAUUUUUUAUACUUAAUGGAACUAUAACAUUAACUCUUAAGUGUUUGUUAAAUCUAUCAAUUUGAUAGGAUAUGCAUUCUACGAAACUAGUUUCAACGAUUCAACCGUCAAAUAUGUUUGUAUAUACUCCGAGAUAGCAUGUGUAAAAAAUCACAAAAAAAAAAAAAAACAUUAAGAGAUUAGGUAAUGGGACCGUGAGUGAAAAAAAAAUAUUCACACCAUUUGUUUAUUUAUUUUUAAUCAAUGUAACAUUUUAAAAUAAUAAAAUAGUCAAUUUCUGUCGGUUAUAACCGGCAGAAUACUAAAAUAAUAACCGCCAGAAUCUAAAAUAAUAAAAUAGUCAAUUUAUGUCGGUUAUAACCGCCACCAUUAACUUAGAAACCGUCAGAAUAAUUUAAAAAUAUUACAAAAAAAGAGAAUUCAAAAAUACUGAGGGUUAUAAUAAUUUUAUGGCGGUUAAAUCCGCCAGGAAAAAUCCGUCAGGAAUUUAUGUCGGAUAUAUCCGACAAAAAGUAACUUUAAUCCGACAGUAAAUAAAUUAUGUGUCGGAAAUCUUUUAUCCGUCAGAAUGACUUUUCUUGUCGUUUUUAUUUGUGCCAGUAAUGGGUAGUUUUGUAGUAGUGACGGUUAAAUUUUGAUCUAUGAUUUAUAUGAUUAUAGUCGUCAAUUUCAAAGUUAAGCUCUUCAUGAGAGUUGUAUAGCUUGUCAUUACGAGCGUUUAUAUAUAUUUUUUCUAUAUUUUUUACAUUUCUACAUUAAUUAAAAAACUAUUAAAAACUUUACUUAAAUAACAGUAGUGAGAUAAAUGAGAGUAAAUAUGUACCAUUGGAUUCUAUUUCACUUAUAUUAUUAGAAUUUUUUUGGUAAUAGAAUGUAGGGGUGGGCACUUAGAACCGAAAACCGAAACCAAAACACGAACCAAAUCGAAUCGCACCGAACUGUUUGGUUUUGCGGUUUUGAAACGAUUUCAGUACUGAAACCGAACCGCAACAUAGAAAAUAGUUUGGUUUCGGUUUUAGCUUUUGAAAACCCCACCGAAACCAAACCAAACCGCAAAAUUAAUAAACAUUUAAUUAAAUGUCCACUUUAGAUUUCAUGUUUUAAUUGGUUGUUUGUUAGAAUCCAUACAUGUAGUGGACCCAACCACACUAGAAUAUCAUCAUUCAUCACUUUCUUUCGUUCAUUAACUCGAAGGACCUUUGUUAUUUUAUACCAUCACACACACACAUAUGUACAAGGGUGGACAAAUGUUGUUAUCAAGAGUCGAACAAUGAUCUAAUGAAGUCCACUCAUUUGAAGCAUGAUAUCACAUAUUAUAGUAUGAAAGUUUCGCUCACGUUUAAUGAAUUCAAAGUUAUUCAACUUGUUUUAUGUUAUACCUUGGAUGGGACACCCUUUUGUUGCACAAAUAUAUUUUAACAUCACAACUGCAUGCAACAUGCUAAUUGUUUAUAUAAGAAAUGUCUUUUUCCUAUUGCUACUGGGAAAUGCUUAUUAAUAUGUCAAAUUGCAAAUUGUACAUUUUUUCUUAAAAUCCAAACCGAAACCAUUUGCAACCGCACCGAACCGAACCAAACGGUUUGGUUUUAUUUCGGUUUUGGCUUCAAAACCGCACCAAACUGAACCGUAAAAAAAUUCGGUUUCGGUUUUGGUUUCACUCAAAACCACACCGAACCAAACCGUGCCCACCCCUAAUAGAACGUGGAGAUUAUAAUGGGAAUGGAACGAGAUCUUGGAAGUGAAAGUAUAGACAGUACAAAUACGAGUCUAGCAAAGAAAGAGGCUAGAGCAAUCAAUUUAGGUAAGCGAAAAUAUACUUAUAAGAAAAUUGUGUUUUUAUGUUUUGGAUGUGAGAAUAUAGCAUGUAUAUACUUAUUUAGUAUUAUGUUUUUCAUUUGAUUAUUUAUUGGUUUAAAAUAUAUUUUCCUUAACGGGUAACGGGUCGAAUCAUAUUACCUGCUAAUAUUAUCGGGUCGAUUUCGAGUCGGAUCAUUUUACCUGUUUAUUUUAAUGGAUGUUACACGAUACGACCCGUUAAAAUAUCGGAUAUGACAAGAAAACAACACGAACACGAAAAACACAACACGAAUCUCAGGUCUACUCUACACACAAAAAUAACACACUCAAAAUGCUCAGCAACAUUAUAAAACUUAAUAAAUUAUACGUAUACAGUACUAUAUAUGUAUUUGGACAUAACGUAUAAAAAUUUACUAACAGAAUCAAGCUUAAAUUUAACAAAAGAAGUAAUUAUGAAUUGAAAUAAAAUGAUAUUAUAGUUGUUAAAAAAAUACCUGACCAAUUUUUACAAAUAGCAUUAUAAAUUGUUAAAAAAAAAUAACAGCAUUGAAAAAUCUAAUUACUCAGAUUUGUAAUUCUAUUAAAACACAUCAUUGAAAACCCCAAGGAGAGAGGUGCAUAUUCCUAACUAGGGAUGAGCAACAGUUAUGGCAGACGGGGAACCGCAUUUAUUUAUCCAUAACCGUUUAUACUCAUACCCGCAUAACUAUUUAUCCAUUGGGUAAUUACCUAAACGGUUAUCCUCAUACCCAUAACCGUUUAUAAACGGUUAACCAUCCCCAUAACCGCGUACUCAUUUAACCGUAACCGUUUAGUACCUGUUUACCCAUUUACGCUUUUUUAGUUCCGUUUAUCCUUUCUUUUUUACUAUUUACCUCUUUUUCAUCCAUCUACAUGUUUUUUUUUUUAAAACUUGUAAAUUAAAAAAGAAAAAGUUGUCAUAAUUUUCUUGUUAUGACAAUUAAAUACCGUUAUAGGUACAUUCAUUAUACAUUUUCACAUUUUAAUUUUUUUUAAGUCCUUAUACCAUAGCAUAAACGCAGCUAUUGAUGCUAUCGUAUAACGGUCUAGACUCUAGAGAAGCAUAAAGGUUUCAUGUUAGUGGUUUCCUAUAUUGUGGUCGCAGCAAGCUUCAGCAGUAAACAUUUUCAUGUCAUUUAUCUAAAAGACAUACAUGACAAUAAUCAAUAUCUUCCUCCAGCGCCUGUCCCAAGCAGUUUUUCUGCAUUAUGUAGGACCGUAUCUUGAACCCUAAAAGUAGAAGGUCGACAACAAAGUUGAUAAAAUAUUGACAGCAAUUACAUAUAUAAAAUAAAUGGGUAAACGGUUACCCAUUUAUAACCGUGGUUAAUACCUAUAACCACCAAUUUAAAUUUCAUGGAUAAACGGUUAUAUCCAUAACUAUUUAUUUUUCUAAAUAUAUAUAUAUAUAUAUAUACACACGCGCGCGAGCGAUCGUAAUCUUGAUUCACCAACCCAGUAAAGUAAAAUUAUUAUCUUGAUUCGGUAAGCCAUGAAAGUGAAAGCUUUGAAUUCGCCACCCGAUUGUUACUUUUUAAUCAACGACGUGGUAUUGUUAACUGCUAUUAGUCAAAAAAACAAAUACUAAAUGCAGGUGGCUUUUGACUAUAGUGAUGAAAAUAUAUUGGAUCUUUGCAUAACGAUGUAGGUUUGAACUCAGUCAAUAACCAAUCUAACAUCUAAUUUAAUAAAAUUUAUCGUUUUAUAAAACAGAAAAAUACUAAACUAACAGUGAUUUUUACGUUGAUUAAUUCUUUAUAUAUAAAAGUUAACUUUUGUAAAUUUUUUGAAUUUCUAAUGGGAAAAGAACAAUCUAGGCAUUGUCAUUUAACUGUUACGAUGAAAUUUCAAUGUUUUUUAGAACAUACAUGAUGUUCAUCAGUUUCUUUAAACUCAAUUAGAUACUUCAAAUAUUUUUUAUUUGGCUAGUACUUUGUAAGGAAGAUCAAUGAGAUGCAACUUGAAAAAUAAAUUAUUCGGAUUGUUGAGGUUCGAUGUGAUAUAAGCCCCACAACCAAUCCCUACUUUGAAAAAAUGGACAUCCCUUCAUUCGGAAAGUGAUACUCUCCGGAUCCCCUUCAACCAAAUCCAUCUAGGUCGGGAUCCGGACCGUUGGAUUUUGAUCCAACGGUUACAGUUAUUAUAACUUUUAAAGUGGCCCCUGUUUGUAACCGUUACAUUAAAUUUUAACAAUCCGAUCCUAAAUUAGGUGGAUUUAGUGGAAAGAAAUCUGGAAAUCAUCCAUUUCCCCUUCCUUCAAAGAUAGAUACGAUUGUUAUCUUGAUUCACCAACCCAUGAAAGUCAAAGCUCUGAAUUCGCCGCCCGAUUGUUAUCUUUUUAAUUAACGUGGUACUGUUAAUUGAGAUUAGUGAUUAUGUUUUUUUUUUAAUGUGGAAGUGAUUUUUACGUUCAUUAUUUGUUUAUAUAUUAAGGUUAGAGACUAGAAUAAUGAAUAUUUUUUUGGAUACUAAUUGCAUCCCCACAUAUCCCUAAUUGUAAAUUAUAUCUUGUUUGAAUAAAAUCAAGAAUCAUAACGGUUCAAUUUAUCAAUUUUUACUUAAAGAUCAUUCAAAAAAUAUCAUUCGAAUUGGAGAUUGUUUUAUCAUCCCAACACAUCAAAAUAAAUGUGGUUCAUCAUAAAUUUAUUACUCGGUACCUAUACUAUCGUUAAUUUGUUUUACACGUUUGAAUGACUAAAUAAUUUUUUAUUGAAAUGACUUUCUAUGGGGGUGACACAAGUUAUUCGCAAGGGAAAAACCAGUUUAUCCCUCCAAGAGGAGGAAUGCAAGUAUUACCCAUAUUUUUUUAAGCCACAAAUUGGUAAAAAAGUAAGCAAACUGAAAAGAACACCUCAACAAAACUAUAUAAUUUUCGCUUAAUGUCAAAAUAGUCGAUGUGUUAUAGUCAUUUGGCCAAUUUAGUAUUUGUGUAUUUAAUUUGGCAUUUAAUCUUCGCGUUGAUCUUCGCUAACCAAGGACAUUACAUCCAAUUUCUGUUAAAAAUUCAUAAAAAUAUUAUAACCCAUUAUAGAAAGAUAUUGUUCAAUUAAGAUAAAAAGAAAUUUAAUUUCAAAAUGAAAAGAAAAUAUAUUAAAACAACCCAUUAUACAAAGUUAUCUUGAUUCACCAACCCAUGAAAGUGAAAGCCCUGAAUUCGCCACCCGAUUGUUUCUUUUUAAUUAACGUGGUACUGUUCAUUGAGAUUGGUGAUUAUGUUUUUUUUUAAUGUGGAAGCGAUUUUUACGCUCAUUAAUUGUUUAUAUAUUAAAGUUAGAGACUAGAAUAAUGAAUAUUUUUUUGGAUGCUAAUUGCAUCCCCACAUAUCCCUAAUUGUAAAUUCUAUCUUGUUUGAAUAAAAUCAAGAAUCAUAACGGUUCAAUUUAUCAAUUUUUACUUAAAGAUCACUCAAAAAAUAUCAUUUGAAUUGGAAAUUGUUUUAUCAUCCCAACACAUCAAAAUAAAUGUGGUUCAUCAUAAAUUUAUUACUCGUUACCUAUACCAUCGUUAAUUUGUUCUAUACAUUUGAAUGACUAAAUGAUUUUUUAUUGAAAUGACUUUUUAUGGGGGUGAUACUCAAAUGAAGAUUAAGAAACUAAAGGGUUCCAACUAUAAAUUUGUAUGAUCGAUACACGUUAUUCGCAAGGGAAAAACGAGUUUAUCCCUCCAAGAGGAGGAAUGCAAGUAUUACCCAUAUUUGUUUAAGACACAAAUUGGUAAAAAAGUAGCAAACUGAAAAGAACACCUCAACAAAACUAUAUAAUUUUCGCUUAAUGUCAAAAUGGUCGAUGUGUUAUAGUCAUUUGGCCAAUUUAGUCUCUAUGUAUUUAAUUUGGCAUUUAGUCUUCGUGUUGAUCUUCGCUAACCAAGGACAUUACAUCCAAUUUCUGUUAAAAAUUCAUAAAAAUAUUAUAACCCAUUAUAUUUUUCAAUUAAGAUAAAAAGAAAUUUAAUUUCAAAAUGUAAAGAAAAUAUAUUAAAACAAACCCACCCUGCCAUCCGUCAUGUCCUUAACCCAAAUCCCAACCAUAAUCACACACGCAGGCAACUCGACGAACGCGUUUCUAGAUCCACCAAUCAUUGCACGAGUGCCAUCAUCGUAGUCCUAAAAAAUUUAAUCAUGACCUCCUCAUCUUCAACUAUGUAAUUAAAAAGCAGACUGCAAUUGAGAGAGCCAUAUACUAUCCUUUAUCUUUAUUUUAAAUUUAAGUUACAAAAAAAUGCAUAUCAAUAAGAAAUAACACAUAUAAGAGAUAAUACUUCAAAUCUAAAAAACUAUUAAGGUUGUGACACAGAAAAGAGAGAGGCAACAAAAUUGGGAGAGGAUAGAACAUUAGACAAGAGAUCGGGAAGUUGGGAUGAGAGUGUUGUGGUCUAUUUUAUCUGACAGAGGGACAAGGGCCGGCGGCAGAGAGAGAGAGGAGAGAGAUGUGUGUUUGUAGAAUUGUAGGGGAAUGUGUGUGUUGUUAUCCCUCCUACAUUGUGCCUUUAUUUAUAGUAGUAAAGGGAGAGAAGAUAUUCCUUCUCCUCCAAGUAAUACAAGUUGUAAUAGGAAAGGAUAACUAGAAUCAAAUCUUAUCUAGGAUUUACACAAUCAUAAUUAAACUAGGAAUGUUUACAACACUCCCCCUUGAGUGGGUAAAUACUCAAGGUAGAUUCAGCAUCAUGCAAAAGUUGAGGAAGUCGACUCGUUGGCAUUGAUUCCAAGGAACAACGCUUAUUCUCAAUAAGGUAGGAACUUGCAUAAGUAGUAAGUCUCACUAAAAAACCCUAAGGCUAUGGCAAAAACCCAAGUAGGGACAAAAUCCAUAGUCUAAGGAAAAAUGCGUGAGAAAUGCAAAGUCAAAAGAAACGUCUACAGGACGUCAUCAGGGAUAUGACCAGCCCAAGGUGGGUGCCUCGUUAAAACCUAGUUAGGUAGCAAAAACCCAGUGGGAAAAAUGCUCCUAAUCGUAGGGAAAAAGAGUACAUUAAGAUCAAGCAAGUAUCUAGAAGAUACUCCCCCUGAGUUUGACAUAAUUCCAAAGAGAAAUAGCAAAGUUACAACUCAGAAAGUUUACGCAUACCAAUUCCAUGAACAAGCUUCUGAAACGUCGCCUUCGGUAGUGAUUUGGUGAAGAGGUCGGCCAGAUUGUCUUGUGAUCGGAUUUGUGUGACUUCAAUCUUCUGAUGCUCUUGUUGUUGAUGUUUAAAGAAGAACUUCGGCGCAAUAUGCUUGGUGUUGUCUCCUUUGAUGUAACCCUUCUUGAGCUGUUCGAUGCAAGCUGCGUUGUCUUCAAAAAUCGUCGUCGGGGCAUUAACGGCGGGAUGAAGAUCACAGGAGCUUCGAAUAUGGCCCACUACUGCUCUCAACCAAAAGCAUUCCCGAGUUGCUUCAUGUAAGGCGAGAAUUUCAGCAUGGUUAGACGAAGUGGCAACUAAGGUCUGUUUAGUUGACCUCCAAGAUAUUGCGGUGCCUCCAACGGUAAAGACAUAACCCGUUUGAGAACGCGCCUUGUGCGGAUCAGAUAAGUAUCCAGCGUCGGCAUAACCAACAAGGCGAGAAUCAACCCGAUGAGCAUAGGGUGCGGCAUCACUCGAGGAUUCGUAGGGAUAGAAUAAGCCCAAAUCCGUAGUACCCUUAAGGUAACGGAAGAUGUCUUUCACGCCAGUCCAAUGUCUGCGUGUUGGUGCAUUGCUGUAUCUUGCCAAAAGAUUAACAGCGAAGGAGAUGUCGGGUCUAGUGCAUUGAGCUAAGUACAAUAAAGCGCCUAUCGCACUUAGAUAAGGAACUUCAGGCUCCAAAAUCUCUUCAUCAUCCUCCUUCGGACGGAAGGGAUCUCGUUUUGCAUCUAGCGUACGAACGACCAUAGGAGUACUCGAAGACUUCGCUUUAUCCUCAUUAAAACGGCGCAACACCUUCUGGGUGUAGUUCGAUUGAUGUACUAGGAUUCCAUCCGAACAAUGCUCUAUCUCGAGGCCGAGACAGUAUCGAGUCUUACCUAGAUCUUUCAUCUCAAAUUCCGACUUCAGGUGCGAAGCAGUUCUCGCGAGCUCUUCAGGAGUUCCGAUGAGAUUCAUGUCAUCGACAUAUACUGCAACAAUCGCAAAUCCGGAAUGUGACUUCUUAAUGAAACACACAAGGGCAUAGUUCGUUAUUCACAUAUCCCUGACUAGUCAAAUACUCACUUAAACGGUUAUACCACAUUCUUCCGGAUUGUUUCAAACCGUAUAGUGAACGCCUCAGCCAAAUUGAGAGCGUGUUCCGGGGUUUGGAAAUAUUUGAACCAGUCAAUGUAAGUCCUUCGGGAACUUUCAUAUAAAUUUCCGUAUCAAGAUCCCCAUAGAGAUACGCGGUUACUACGUCCAUCAGCUGCAUAUCCAGUUUUUCGGAAACUACCAAACUGAUAAGGUAUCGAAAAAUAAUCACAUCCAUAACGGGUGAGUAAGUUUCGUCAUAGUCAAUCCCGGGGCGUUGUGAGAAACCUUGUGCUACAAGACGAGCUUUGUAACGCACAAUUUCGUUCUUCUCAUUACGCUUCCGAACGAAAACCCACUUGUAGCCAACGGGCUUCACAUGUGGAGGAGUAGGAACUACAGGUCCAAACACCUUACGUUUCGCAAGUGAAUCAAGUUCGACUUGGAUUGCUUGUUUCCAGUUUGACCAAUCAGCUCUACGUCGACAUUCAUCAACGGAACGCGGUUCAAUGUCAUCGCUCAACAUGAUCUCAGUAGCUACUACAAAUGCUAAUGCAUCGUCGACAAUCAUCUCAUUUCUACGCCACACAUCAUCUAAGCUAGCAUAAUAGACCGAAAUCUCACGAUUCUCGGGAGGAGGAUUCGUCUCUUCAAGGACGCUUCCAUAAUCUAGAAUUUCCUCAUGAGUUGGGUAAAAUGAGUAAGCGAUAGUCGGAUUCACGGUAGGCUCUUCAGGACCUUGUGCCGUGGUUUUCCUCUUCCGGGGGUGUGAAUCCUUUGAACCAAGGGGUCUGCCACGCUUUUGUGUAGGGGCAGAUGAUUGGCUAGCCGCUAAUGUACGUGGAUCACCAGAAUUGGCGUCCCGGGCUUCCAGGAGGGUAGUCCGUCGUACAUUUGGUACAUCCAUCUUUGCAGGCGUAUUCGCAGCUGGAAUAUGUGAUCUUGUCACGCGCGCUAGAUCGGUGAAAGCAUCUGGCAUGCUCUGAGCUAUGCUCUGGAGAUCUAAUAUGCGCUGCACUUCAGCUUCAGACUGAGCGGUGCGGGGAUCUAAAUGAGACAAAGUGGGAGUCGUCCACGAUAAUUCGCGUCGUUCAUUAGGAACGUUGACGUUCUUAUCUCCCCCUAAUGACGGGAAGACUGUCUCAUAGAAGUGACAAUCCGCGAAACGAGCGGUAAACAGAUCGCCUGUCAAAGGUUCUAAGUAACGAAUAAUCGAAGGAGAAAUCAUAACCGACAUAGAUUCCCAUCCUUCGCUGAGGCCCCAUUUUUGUACGUAAGGGCGGCGAGAUCGGCACAUAGACCGCACAACCAAAAACGCGCAGAUGCGAUAUGUCGGGGUUCGCAUCCGGUGACCAACUGAAGGGCACUAAAUGGUUGUGUCGCAACAGGCCUCAGGCGGACCAACUUUGCUGCGUGCAAUAUUGCAUGGCCCCAAGCAGCGAUCGGGAGCUUGGUACGUAUGACCAACGAUCGAGCAAUCAUUUGUAAACGCUUAAUGAAAGCCUCUGCCAGGCCGUUCUGGGUGUGAACAUGGGGUACAGGAUGUUCAACUUCAACCCCAACCGACAUGCAAUAGUCAUCAAAAGUUUUAGAUGUGAAUUCUCCAGCAUUAUCCAAUCGAAUAGAUUUGAUCGGAUAAUCAGGGUGGUGAGCCCUGAGCUUGAUAACCUGAGCCAACAGUUUGGAGAAUGCAGCGUUCCUUGUGGACAACAAGCACACGUGUGACCAACGUGUAGAAGCGUCAACCAAAACCAUAAAAUAUCUAAAUGGUCCGCAGGGAGGUUGAAUAGGUCCACAAAUGUCCCCCUGAAUCCGUUGUAGAAAAAUGGGAGGAUUCGAACGAAUCUUGUCAUAAGAAGGCUUAGUAAUAAGCUUUCCCAUAGAACAUGUUUGACAUGCAAUUUCAUGGAUCGAACCUAAGCUUCGGGUUAGUGGAUGCCCGUGUGAAGUUUUGAGGAUACGGCGCAUCGCUAUUCGUCCAGGAUGUCCCAAACGAUCAUGCCAAAGUGUAAUUUCGUGCGCGGUCCCUGUGGUAGGGCCGGCCACAUAGUGGCAUUCUAUGGGGCGUAUGGUCGUAGUAUACAGACCACUCGGGUUACGCUCCAUCUUCUCUAGAAUACGCUUCUGGCCAUAUUCGUAGGAAGUUACGCACAGAAAUUCAACUCCGUUUUCUACGUGGGUUUUAGCGUGGUAAUUGUUAUCUCUAAUGUCCUUGAAACUUAGUAACGUUCUUCCGGAACGUGGAGAAUAGAGUGCCUCAGCAAUGGUCAAAAUUGUACCAUUGGACAACAUUAUACGUGCCUUGCCGUAUCCUUCAAUCAGGUUGGAUGGGCCUGAGAGGGUUGUCAGAGGUGCAUUCUUAGGUACGAAGUUAGUGAAAUAGAUGCGUUCACGCAAAACAGUAUGCGUGGUUGCACUAUCUGCCAGACAACUAACUUUCCCACUAGUCAUACCUAGAAUGAAAAAUUAAUUUGAAUCGGUCACAUGCAUAAAAGUUUAUAAAAACAAGUAUCAAUUCAAAAUAAUUUCAUUUAUUCAAGGAAAAAACUGAAUAUCCAAAAUAAAUCGCCAACUAAUAAUCCAAAACAUAAAGGAAAAUUGUUCAAAAUCAACCAAAAAACAAGGUGGGGUUCGGCCACAAGGUGGAAUUCGGCCCCAAUUGUCUUAUUUUAACUAAAAAAUAAGUGUAUGUCUAAGAUUCUAAUCUUCCAUAAGAGUGGUAUCCUCCUGAAAAUCAGAAACCUCCAUCUUUGUAGUCUCCGGUUCGUCCACUUGUAGGAAGUUUGAUUCAAACUUCGUACGACGAGAAUGAUAUGCAUCCACAACCUUCUUGGGAGCACAGCAAAUACGGGACCAAUGGUCCUUGGAACCACAACGAUAGCACAUAUCGUCAUUCAUUGUGGCAGGUGCUUUGCCCUUAUUCUUGAAGUUCGGGGCCUUGGGAGCGAGGUUUGGGCGCUUCUGGGCUUUGUUUCCUCCUUUGGAUGGGCCUUGGCUCUGUUAACCUUGGUGGGAUGGCUUCUGGCCGUCCUUACCACGCCUCUUUUGGCGUUUUGGGUGCUGAUUAGUGCUAUAAUGUGCUUCAGGCACAGCAGUAGCCCCAGUAGGUCGAGCUUGAUGAUUCUUCAUCAACAGCUGGUUCUGCUUUUCAGCAAGAAGUAAAACAGAGAUCAAAUCCGAGAACUUAGUGAACUUCUGAGCUCUAUAUUGUUGCUGCAGGACAAUAUUAAAAGCAGAGAAGGUCGAGUAGGUCUUCUCCAGGAGAUCCUCUUCAGUCAAAGUUUCAUUGUAAAACUUGAGAAGUGAUCGGAUUCGACAAACUUCAGAAUUAUAUUCAUUCACAGACUUAAAGUCUUGGAAGCGCAAGUGCUGCCAGUCGUGUCUUGCUUCAGGCAAGAAUAUGUCCUUUUGGUGAUCGAAACGAUCAGCCAAAGCGACCCAUAAUGCACGUGGAUCCUCCUCAGCAAGGUACUCAGUUUGUAGAGCGUCAUGGAUAUGUCUUCGGAUGAAGAUCAUAGCAGUGGCUUUUUCAGCCUCGCCAACAGGUUUAUCUGUUGCUUCUUCAAUAGCAGGACGCAAGUUCUUUGCAGUGAGGUGGAGCUUCACAUCUUGAACCCACUUGAGGUAGUUCCUUCCAGAAACCUCCAAAGCGGUGAAGUCGAGUUUGUUCAAAUUCGACAUGGUCCUAUCAAAAUAGAUGGACAAGAUGUGGUUAGUGUAAUGGAGAAAAAUCAAUCCAUUCACAUAGGAGUAGAACAUACAGGUUCUAAUAGACAUGUAUUGGUUUAAUUUUGCAUGAAAAACUUCGGGUUUUCAUGGGUGAUAUAUUUAAGUGAAAACUUCGGGUUUUCAAACAAGGCAUGUUUAGAAGAAACUUCGGGUUUCAAAGUAAUUAUGAACUUCAGGUUCAUAUAUUCCUGCAGGCAAACACAAAUAUAUAUGCAAACAAAUAUGCAAAGAAUAUAUGCAGAGAUAUUGUAUAAUGAUAAGUGAAUUAAUUUAUUUUUGGUCUUCGGGGCCAAAUUAAAGUGUGGGUGAAAAUAUAAAAACCCAUAUUAUUUUAAAAAAAAAAAUUAAAUAAUAAAAUCUCGAGGCCUAAAAAUAUAGGCCAAGAACCCUCGGGUGGGAUUACAGGCCCACGGGGUGAGAAGAGGGGAAUGGGCUGCUGUGUGCAGCCCUAAAAUUUUUUUUUUUUCUCGGGCCGUUCCAGGCGAGCCCAUAAUUUUUUUUUUUUUUUUUUUUUUUGUAUUCAAUUAUAUUAUAUGCAUGUAUAAUUUUAAUGAAUCACAUAUUUACGUUGAUGCAUAUGCAAAUAAUAGUUUCAAUGCAUGUACAUAUGUAGGAUUCAAUUCAUGACAAAUAUCAAAUUCACAUAAUUGUAGCAAUUUUGAUUAUGAAGCAUACACAAUUUAUGUAGAAUCUAAAAUACGUUAAACGUAAAGUUGGGUCAUGCAUCAUGGUGAAUGUUCAUGCUAUCAGGGCUUGCAAAAUAUCGAGUUAAAAGCCGUUGUUUGGAAAGAACCUGAUUUCGUGAUGAUAUAGAUGAACUGGUUUGAUGCAGAAAAAAAUCUCCAACGUCAGAUUCCUAAGCGCAGCGGUAGGAGCGUGCUGAUAACGUGUUGUGGUCUAUUUUAUCUGACAGAGGGACAAGGGCCGGCGGCAGAGAGAGAGAGGAGAGAGAUGUGUGUUUGUAGAAUUGUAGGGGAAUGUGUGUGUUGUUAUCCCUCCUACAUUGUGCCUUUAUUUAUAGUAGUAAAGGGAGAGAAGAUAUUCCUUCUCCUCCAAGUAAUACAAGUUGUAAUAGGAAAGGAUAACUAGAAUCAAAUCUUAUCUAGGAUUUACACAAUCAUAAUUAAACUAGGAAUGUUUACAACAGAGGGUAAUUUUUCUUUUGAUUUUGAUUUUAUUUUAUUUUUAAAUAUUUUAAAUCAAAUAGAUAAUUUUAUAAAUAAUUUUAUAAUAGUUUAUGAAAAUUUUAAGAAUGAUUGGAUGAAAUGUCCUUAAUUGGAUAAUAAAGAUAAACACGAAAAUCAAAUUGGCCAAAUUAAAAAUAGAGUGACUAUACUGACCUAAUUGCUAAAACACAGAAACCAUUUUGAUAUUUAAGCCUAUAUUUUUUUUUAUAUAUAUAAAACCAUUUGAGAAAUUUAGCCAAAAAAAUCAUCAUAUGUCCACGUUGCCAUGCGCUAUUUUAUUUUUAAUUGUGAGAUUCCUUUGGUCUCGUUACAAAGCAAUUUGUUUUUUUUUCCAAAAGUAUUGAGUUUGAAAUAGUGAUUUCCUCGAGUCAUAAUGUUAUCUUUUGAAAUAGUAUUCUCCUCUAGUGCCAAUGUUAUCAAUAGUUCACUUGUAAAACCCUUUUUUCUUAUAGGGAAUUUAAUAAAAAUAGCCUAACAAAACAAGGUCUUAAUAAAAACACUCAAUGGACAUUUUUUGUAUAUACGAUAUUAUCUAUACUAAAAAAUGAGAAAUUAAACUAUUACCAAUAUGGUAUUGCUUCAAUUUUUUUUUCCUUUUUUCAAACAUGUGGGGAAAAAGUUGGGGUGUUUUUGUGUUUGGUAAACAAGGACCAACCUGCUUUUUUCAAAAGUAUUGGUCAUUUGAAGCCGAAAAGGGGAAGUAGCAAAUAGCAACUUUGAGAAUAUAAAUCCUUGUUCUUUUGUUUUUCAAAACAUGGAUGAACAGUGUCAAUUUGAAAGCUCAUUUUUACAAAAAAAUAAAUAUAAAAAUGUUUAUCAAAUACUCAACUGUUUUAUUUAUAUCUAUUUAAUUUCACAAUAUAACAAAACAAUUUUUUUUUUAAAUACAACAAUAUCAAGCUAACUCUAAACUUCACAAUAUGCUACCGAAUAAUUUAUUUUGAAUUCGGCAUAUUUUCAAAGAUAAGAACAAAUAAAUAGACCCCAAAGGACUUGGAUCCUCUCCUGAGCUAAUGGAGAGGAUCCUCCUAACCACUAAUCAAUGGCCGUUGGAUUUUUAUCCAACGGCUACAAACAGGAGGGUCCCUUUAAAGUUAUAAUAAUUAUAACCGUUAGAUAAAAAUCCAACGGCCCAUGAUUAGUGGUCAGGAGGAUCCUUUCCAUUAGCUCAGGAGAGGAUCCAAAUCCGACCCCAAACAAAGACCCGGUCCUGUUUUGGGUGACCAAAGACUCAGUCCUCUCCACGUCAUUGAAGCUGCUUCCGCAGCAUUAAUUUUCUUUUAAUUUUCACCGGUCCUAGGCUCCUAGCCAUCUACGACUUUUCUCAACUUAAUUUUCUUUUAAUUAUUAAGAAAAACUCCCUUCUCCUUAUAAAAAUAUAGAUUCCAAGAAACUAUCCAAAAUAUGUGAUCACAAAAUAGGACAAACAAGAGUGCUACAGCUGGUUUUCUUAGCUGCAACUCCUUCCUGUUGAAUUUCCAAUCUUUUCCGCCGGCCGUUCAAUCUUUUCCGACGGGAGGGGGCGUUCAAUCUUAAAUCUUGUCCAAUGGGCCGUUCAAUCUUUGAAAUCAUAAUCUGGAAGGGAAAUACUUGCAUCCACUUGUACAUUUUCUUAAUUAUUAUUUUUAAGAUCAUUUUUACAAAAUAAUUAAUUAAAUUCAAGACCCUUAGUUAUUCACAUGCAUUCAAGAAAUAGACUAUCUUGAUAUUAACCAACAUUUCAAUAUAUAUCGUCCGUUUGUUAAUUAUAUAUGGAUGACAAAUCGAUAUUUGGUUUAAUUGAUUUUGUUUUUUUUUUGUUUUUUUUGAACAAAUGAUAUCAUUUACAGAGGUAGGUUUAGCCCCACAAUAAACUAGCAAUAAUGUGGUUCAAAUUCGUCGUUAACGAAAAUCGAAGCUAAGACCUCUCACUUACAAAUGAAGAAGAAUACCACUAAAUUGUAGUACUAAUUAACAUUUAAUUGAUUUUUUACUAGAAUAAUUUUGAAACAAUGGCUAACAAAUCAACGAUUUUAAAUACGAUGCCGGCAAAAAUGGGCAGGUCCAAGAAAAUAAAAUAAUUGCAAAAAUGGACAGGUCCAAUACUGCAAGUAUGCAGUUAAUGAUAUUUUACGUCUAGCUGGUUGGACCUUUACACUCCUCCAGAGUUAUAAAAUCAAGCAUCAGUUGGCAUUCAUAAUACUCAAGGAAACAAAUUGAGACCUGGUCGAAGUCUGAAACAGCUAAAACCUCCCUGAAAUUUCCCAAAGAGCAAUAUGGCACUUUGGAUUUGGGCAACAAUUGGGGUGCUUGCACUUGUUCACGUCCUGCAGACAUGGAUAUCAAAAGGCAAGAACAAGAACAAGAUGCUACCUCCUGGUCCGAGAGGGUUUCCUAUCUUUGGCAGCCUCCACUUGUUAGGGAAGGUCCCUAACAGGAAUCUUUAUCAACUAGCCCAGAAAUACGGCGACAUCAUGUACAUGCGGUUAGGCCUCCAACAUAACAUUGUUAUCUCGUCCCCACGAGCGGCCGAGCUGUUCCUCAAAACACACGACCUUAAUUUUGCAAGUAGACCACCUCAUGAAGGUGCAAAGCACGUCAUCUUUGGGCAAACGAACAUGAGCUUCGCUAAGUAUGGCCCGUAUUGGCGCGAUAUGCGAAAGAUGUGCACGCUCGAAUUACUUAGCAACCACAAGAUCAACUCUUUCAAGGCCAUGAGGAGAGAAGAGGUUUCUCUUCUGAUUCAAUCUGUUCAAGAGGACGCCAAUGAUCGACGGGUUCCUAUCAAUCUCAGUGACAAGAUCGCAUCGCUCAGCGUUGACCUGACCUGUCGGCUGGUGUUUGGGAAGAAGUACAAGGACGAGGACUUUGACGAGAGGGGUUUCACGGCGGUGUUGAAAGAGUCUAUCCAAAUAGUAGCAGCACCUAACUUGAAUGAUCACAUUCCUUUUCUUAGGCCGUUUGACCUGCAAGGGCUCACCAAAAAAAUGAAGUCUAUCAACAAGAAGUUUAAUACUUUUUUUGAGAAGAUAAUCGACGACCAUCUUCAAUCCAAGGAUGAAGAAAGAACAAAGGACUUCGUUGAUGUCGUGCUGGGCCGCAUGGGGUCUGAAGAAUCAGACUACCGAAUCGAACGCGUGCAUGUCAAAGCCGUUAUGCUGGUAAGUAUACAUAUCAUUUUGCAUAUUUUUCUUUUCAUUCUUGCUUGACAUCAAAUUAAAAAGAACUUGUUUCUUGUUAUACGAUUUAACAUGAUGUGGUCUAAGAUUGUGAUUAUGAACUAUUAGGUUGACUUUCUUUGAAUAUAUUAAAUUGACUGUUGAUGGUUUAAAUUUGUAAUUCAUCAUGUACAUGAAAUUGUCAUCUAUGUACAUGUGUCGCACUACUAUAUAUAUACUUCAUCUUCAUCUAACAAUGAAAAAUUUAUUGGCAGGACAUGUUCGCGGCCGCAUUGGACACACCACCAUCAGCAAUCCUGUGGGCGCUCUCAGAACUCCUUAGGCACCCACAAGUUAUGAAGAAACUCCAAAAGGAGCUAGAAAAUGUUGUAGGUCUCAAUAGAAUGGUGGAGGAAUCAGACUUGGAGAAAUUGGAGUACUUGGACAUUGUAGUGAAGGAAACCUUGAGACUACAUCCUGUGUUACCAUUGUUGCUCCCUCAUUUAUCCAUUGAAGAUUGCACUGUCGAUGGGUACCACAUACCGAAAAAUUCGCGCCUUAUCGUAAACGCAUGGGCAAUUGGGAGAGACCCAAGUGCUUGGGAAGAUGCAGAGAAGUUUGUACCAGAAAGGUUUGAGGGCAGCAAUAUUGAUGUUAAAGGAAAACACUUUCAGCUUAUACCGUUUGGCUCUGGCAGAAGACGUUGCGCUGGAAUGCAGUUAGGGCUUACUGUGGUACAGUUUGUGUUGGCACAGAUUGUGCAUUGUUUUGAUUGGGAACUUCCAGACAACAUGUUGCCAAAUGAGUUGGAUAUGACUGAGGUGUUUGGUCUUGCAGUUUCUAGGACCAAGGAUUUGCUCCUUAUUCCUUCAUAUCGCCUUCAGAAUUGAUCAUGUUUUAUGUGUCUGUAGUGCCUAUAUAUUUUCCUACUUGUCAUAAGUAUAUGUCGUGGACUAGCUAUCUUUUCUGUGUUUCCCUCCUUUUUUUUUUAAAAUAGGGACAACUAGUGGCAAACCACAGUUAUCUACGCUUUUCGGAGGCAUCUUUUCUGUGUUUCUACUGUCUUACAUUUGUGUUCUUCACUUGAUGAGGAGAACAAGCAAUGUAAUUAAUUAAAUAAAGUGGUGUCUGAUAAGGAUUUUACUACACAUGUGAAAGGGCUAAAAAACUCCUAUAAUACUUGCAAGAAUGAUAAGGUUAUUGUAAUAUAAACGGAUCUUGCAAUGUCGUUCUCCACAUGAAUUAUUAAAUAAUUCGAAACAAACCAAAUUCUAAUUAAUUAUUGUAGAGUAGAAAUUGAGAUGAUUGAUCUUAUAACUUAUUUAAAUUAAACACGAAUUUAAUUAAUAAAAGUAAACUAAUCUGCAAUAUUAAAACUAGAAGGAAAAGAAAACAGUUUAUGGAGAAAUCAAAUUAAGAAAACACUAGGUUCCACCAUCACCUAGCAAUCCUAUGAACUUUUACCAAUUACUUAUGAUCUACACAUGUGAUGAGUAGAUUUUAUAUUAUAUAUUUUACCCUAAUCUUACUAUAUUUUGGAAAAAAUUUUAUACUUUGAAUUGUAUUUUCAAUAUAGGACUUUCGAAUUCCUCUGGAGCAAAACAGGACCAAAUGAACGAAUUUUGGAGUAAUUCCAGUUGGAGGACGUUCGUGAGUCAAUUAGCUUGAUCGUAACAAAAUUUAGAAUUUUUCCACUAAGCGGUUAUUUCUGGCGAUAAAAUAAAUGAGCGAUGCGCGGUGCUGGAAAAUGACGUUUCUGGGCUUAAAUUGCGUUUUUGGAGCCCAAGAUGACCUUGGAUGGGUUCGUGGCCUUCUGGAGAAGUGUUCAGAAUAUUCCAAACAUUAAAUCCAGCCAUAUUGGGCCAGUUUUGGAGCAGCUUAUGGGUCCAAAACAUGGCUGUUCAGAUUUUAGGCGAAUUUUACCAUUUAAUUUAGGGUUAUGUUUCCUAUUUUAUUUGAUUAUUAUUUUUAGUUUCCUAGUGGGAAUAAAGGACCUGUUUUUAGGGUUUGUGUGGGGGCUUAGCAGAUAUUUGCUUGGCCAUCUACAGUUUUACGUACACUUUUCUUUUAUGCAACUUUAGAGACAAAGAGAAUUGCUAGGGUUCUUGGAGAUUUUCUACUCUAAAGUGUUUUCAAUCCUUUUCUUAGUAAUAUUUUCUAUGAUUGCAAUUAUGAAUAUGCAUAACUAAUUCCUUUUGCUAGGGCGAAUCCUUGAGCCUUAGCAUGAAUAUGUGAUUUUUAUUUAAUUGCUUAUGAUUGAUUGCAUGCAUACUUUGAAUUAUUAAUCACUGGGAUUAAAACUAUUUAAUUGUGUUAAUGCUUGAUCACCAUUAGGAUCUUUAGAAAAGUAAUUUGAUGCAAAUUUGGUCAGAAUGUUCCCUGAAAUUGACGCUGGCUUCUUGUGAUUAAUAAUUGUAAUUUCACUUAGGAUGAACACCACAUCUUAAGGAUUGCAUGGUUUUUCAAAAGGUUUUCAUAAAGCAUAAUGAGUCUUUCAUGUUCAGAUUUGAUUCGAACGUCCGGACGGGUUGCAUGUUAGAUAUAUGUUCAAUGUUGGAGGUUCCAAGUAGAAUAUAAAUUAGGAAAACCUAACCUUCAAAGUGGCAUGUGUAGAUCAUAAGUAAUUGGUAAAAGUUCAUAGGAUUGCUAGGUGAUGGUGGAACCAUAGUAUUUUCUUAAUUUGAUUUCUCCCAAAAUUGUUUUCUCUUCCUUCUAGUUUUCAAUAUUGCAGAUUGUCUUAUCUUUAAUAGUUAAAUUCGUUUUUAAUUUAAGUAGGUUAUAAAAUCAAUCAUCUCAAUUUUUACUUUACAAUAAUUAAUUGAAAUUUGGUUUGCUUUGAAUUAUUUAAUAAUCCAUGUGGAGAACGACCUUACGAGAUUUGUUUAUACUACAACAACCUUGUCAUUCUUACAAGUAUAAUAGGAGUUUUUAGCCCGUUCACAUGUGUAAUAAAAUCCCUAUCAAGAAAAUGGCGCCGUUGCCGGGGAUUGUUUUAAAUAGUUUGUGUCUAUCAACUCUUAAUUAAUUAUUAUUGUAUAUAUCUUUUUAUUUAAUUGCUGAUUUUGUUUUUGUAGGUUACAAUUUGUUUCUUUUUAGCAGUGCAACAAUGAAAUUUGCAGUUUCCCCUGAAUUCAAUCUAACACCCGAGGGACCACCUCUUUGGGUUUCAUUAGCAAAAACGGGUUAUUAUGGAUUUAAGCCUACGAUUUGUGCUCUUUGUAAUUCAAAUACUCAUGAUAUUUUGCAAUGUCCUAAGAGAGAAUAUUUUCCAGAUUAUGUCCAGGAGUAUAUAAAUAUGAGAAACGAUUCAAAACUGGAACAAUCCCCAUUCAGAGUUCUACACUCAAAGUUUGAAAGAGCAUAUUGGGCAGUAUUUUGAGUGGCUUAAUGUGCCACAAGAACUUUCGGUGGAGGACAAACUAUCUAAAUUGUUGGAAUCAACUGAAUUGUACAUAGAAAUAAUCAAUCAAGGAUUUCAAAUUUAAGCAGUAAAUUGUGGGAGAAGCUAUGAUGAUCAAGAGGUUGGUGUAGGAACCGAGGAGCCAUCUGCCUGUUAUUCACACCCAAAGGAGGAAACAGCCCCUGAUGACCUUGAAACUUACAUAGAAUCUGCUCCUACAAAAGUCUGUGUGCCACUCAUGCACUCUCCCGAGACUCCAAGGCAACCCGCUAAGCAGCAAGAAUGCAUGAAUACUCUGACAAAUCUAAUUACAGGACAGCUGCUUACUAAUCAGAAAAUUUUAGUGGCGGUAACGGACAGUGCACCUGCAUAGCCCUUCAAAUUCAAAGAAAUGCCAGAUGAGUCCUGCAAACAGGCAAAGAUCUAUAUGGAAAAGAGGAAGCUUAUUGACAGCCAAGUUCCUCGUAGAAAAUUUUAGCCAGUGCGGAAACUAUGGGUGUUAGAUACACGAUUUAAGUCAGCUCGAUGGAGAAAUAAACAUAGCUGGAAAGGAACCUAUUUCUUUCCAAAGAUUCAUUCAAAAAGAAAGGCGUAUAAGAAGAAUUCAACCAUUAAAUUUGGAAGCACAGUGCUCUAUGACAUUAUUAAAGAGUGGUUAACUUUGAAAGAACAAGUGAGGUGAUCAACAAUUCUUUCUGCUACGUCUAGCUAUAGACUUUAACUAAAGCGCUUUUUGGAAGGCAACCCAAUUUUUCUAACUCUUUUCUUUUUAUUUCGUUUAAUUUAUUUUCCUGUUUUUAUUCCUAAUUACAAAAAUCAAAAAGAAAAAAAAUAUUGCAAUUUUUAAUUCUUGUUAUUUUUCUUUACUUAUCUAAUUAGUUUUUUUAUUGCAAGUUGCAUUCGGAACUGAUUCGGCCUAAUCCCAACUAAGGGGGUGCAAUCAACAUUUAUUCCCCCAGCACAUUCAUCAUCAAUUCCUCUACAUUCAUGAGAUUAGGCAGUGUGGAGUGCAGAAACAAAGUUGAGGGAUCUAAGUAGCACAGAGGACACGAUUCAUCAAGGCAGAAUACAGUUUCUGUUAUCCACACUUUUGGGCUCAAAUAUACAUUAGUGGGUACAGGCAAGCACACAGAUAGAGAUUUAUGAGCAUGUGGAGAACAUUAUCAUGCAUGAUGCGCAAAUAAGAGUUAGGCAUCUAUGUUCUAUACCUUUCCUUUUCAGAUAAGCUCCAGACAUCUACCGUUCUUUUCUAUGUCAAAUCAGCAUUCUGCAAAUCCUGCCGCAGAAGCACACAUGCAUUAGAUAAUUUUCAUCCAUUUUUUCCCCAAAUCUAAGCAUAUAAAAAAAAUAAAAAAAAUUGAAGGGAGAUGUGGAUAAAAAUUACCCAUGAAUGUGUCGGAAUCAGAGAGGGAUGUGAUCUGCGAUGUCAUCUUUGCGGCUGUUGAUAUUACUGUUUGAGGACGCUCGAUUUUUGAGGUUCGAAGGCAGCAAGAUGAUGAAGGAGGACAUCGUAAAAGAGUGGUAGAUGCGCUUAGAUGGUCCUGGUUCAAAGAUGAAGUUUGGGCGUAUAGUGCGGCUCUGGGGUAUACGUUUGGUUUUUAAGAUAGAAAUGGUUGUGGGCUCGAGGAUGAGAAAAGAAGAAUCUAGAGAAAGAAGCUUUCUGAAGCAGCUAGAGGGAGAAAUAAGAAAUGGGAAGACGGCGCCAGGGUAAUUCUAUAUAUAGAUAAAUGAGCAUCGAGUAAGCUUAAACAAGCUGGCUAAGACGUUUUAGAAUGAGCCACAUCGUGGCCCACAUUUGCUCCGAGUCUAGCCGUGCAACAACUUCAUUUUCAAGCCCAGGUAAUAUCUUUCUUUUCUUUGGUUUUGUUAAUCAUUUUCACUUUUAUAAUUAUUAUAUUUUAGUUUAAGUUUAUUUCAUUUUUGUCAUGUUUCUUUUAUUUCCACACCUUGAGGACAAAGUGUAAAAUAAGUUUGGGGGUCGGAAAGUACAAUUUUAGGCUUUUAUUUUUUAUGUCAGUUAAGAAUUUUCAUUCUUUUUAAGUUAAUAUUCAUAGAUUAUUUUAAACGUUAGAAAAAAUGGACGUGGUGAAGAUUAAUCUUACAGUAUAGUCUUUUCUAUUUAUCGUUGCUUAGACACUAAUUCAUGAAUUAUACAUUGAACUUUGCACAUCACAUCAACAUGGUUUGUGGGAAGCGAGAUUGAAACACUUGCUUUUAGUCUAAGUUUAUUUUUUAUUUUUGUUUUGAGUAAAGUCAGUUAUUAUUGUGAAUAAAGUAAUAAUUGUCUCACCCGAGGUUUUGCCUAGUAACUGGGCCAGUCCUGCCUAAUCAGCAGUGAUUCUUACGUCAAAUGGUAGAGUUUUGGCAUGGGGCAGGGUGGUUAGUUAGUUUCAUAGCCUUUUCAGCUCAGGUUAAUAAGUCCUUAAGGGUGUUCUACACCUAGUGCCCUAAAGCCCUAGUGGUUUGGGAGUCAUUGACCUAAAGCUCGCUACAUGGGUUGGAUCGAAAGCUUAAGUGAACUGACAUUGCACGACCACUACUAUUACUGAAGAAAAAAAUUAAAAAGAAAAAGAAAAAAAGCUAUAUUCAAAGUUAGUAUGUGUGAAAUAAAGAAGGACGAGAGGUCAGAGUUUUAGUCGAGUCUCCCUAACU
RNAcentral lists this long non-coding RNA (84115 nucleotides) under Malus domestica (apple). RNAcentral's name for it is "long non-coding RNA (MDOM_LNC010766)". The record is from RNAcentral. Lineage: Eukaryota; Viridiplantae; Streptophyta; Magnoliopsida; Rosales; Rosaceae.